RNAcentral lists this long non-coding RNA (63171 nucleotides) under Ananas comosus (pineapple). RNAcentral's name for it is "long non-coding RNA (ACOM_LNC042062)". Lineage: Eukaryota; Viridiplantae; Streptophyta; Magnoliopsida; Poales; Bromeliaceae. The record is from RNAcentral.
UUUUUGUUCUUUGUUCUUUAAUCUCACGGCUAACCCGGGGGUUUCGUCACAUUAACUUGCUUCACAUUAAGUCCAUCAUCACAGGAACUCACCAGCUAGGACCGUCCUUACGGGUCUACUCCAACCCGGAUGCCAAACUCCGGAGCGCAUCGCCCGAGGGGGAGCGACCGCCCUCGAGCACGGAACUCAUAGCAAGUAUGAUCAAUCCUUAACUCUAAGGAUAUGUUGUUGGAUCAUGGUUUUACACUAACUCUAGUGUUCUUUACAUCACUUUAUGUUGCCACUCUAGCAAUCAUUGUUCUUUACAUUUCUUUUACUUUUGCUAACUCUAGCAAUCACGUUUUUCACAUUCCUUUACUUUAAGCUAUCUUUAGCUUUCACAUUCUUUAACUUUACACGUUCUUUACGCCACAUUACAUUACAUUGUCUCUAGCCAUUAUCAUUAUUCUUUACACUUUGCUUCUUCUUUAUGCCACAUUACUUUACAUUGCCUCUAGCCAUUAUCAUUGUUCUUUACAUCACAUUGCUUUGCCUUGUCUCAAGCCAUUAUCAUUAGGUUCUCACAUUACAUCUCAUGCAUACACAUAGAUUAUUUAGAUUCUUAAUCAUUCUAAUAAGCACGUGUACUCACAUCAUGCAACAUUACAUUAUUAUCAUCACAUUGUCUUACAUUAUCUUUAGCCAUUAUCAUUAUUCUUUACAUCACAUUUAUUCUUUGAUGUCCCACACUAACUCUAGUGUCCACUUUACCAUUUCGAAUGCCACUCGAUCUAUGUUCAACAUGCAUAUAUUUGUCAUCCAUUGGUAGUCAUUACUUAGCAUUUUAUGCAUUCGUUAACAUUUACUACAUGCAUUCUCGGUUAGUACAAAUCUCAUACUUUCAUUUGACAUCUAUUUAGCAUUUCUAUAAUAUGCACAUAUAAAUUAACAUCAACUCAUGCAUUCAUUUGGCAUCUAUCUUUAUCAUGCAUUCUUAAUUAGCAUACUUUAUCAUGCAUUCUCAAAUAGCAUACUUUAAUCUUUAUCAUGCAUUCUUAAACAGCAUACUUUAUCAUGCAUCAAUAGUAAACAUACUACACUUUAGCAUGGAAAGCGACCUAAUCGCUUCGGUGAGCACAACCCACCUCAUUUCGCAUUCCGAUUGCUUGUCGACAUUUGCAAUCGGCCUCCCGCGGCACCCGGCACCCGGUUUGGCCCGAUCUCUCACGCGACCACCGAACGGCCUCCAAUUCACGAUCCGAAAAUUAAAGGUCUUCGGUUAUGUGCCACGAUGCUUCAAAUCCAUUUUCAUGAAUUUACGAUAUCGCCUCGGCCCUCCCGGCGGACCCGAAGCCUAAACGUUCAUUUCUUUAAUAACUUUGUAACGGCUCGUCGGAUCGCCGAACCGUCUUCGCCAACGCGUUCGUUUACCUAGCAAUUAGGUUUACGGAGGGUCAAAUUAGAUCAAACCCUUAUAUUUUACAAAACCCCAUUCGGAGCCCUAAUAUGCUAUUAACCUCAAAAUAAUCCAAAAUUAAAUGGAUCAACAUGCUAAAAAAGCUCAUUAGAGGCUAUUAGAAUACUUAAAGCUAAGGAUUAAGCCAAAUCCUAAAAGCUUACCUCAAUGUGAACGCCGCGACGAAAAUACGCCGCUCCAACGGGCGCACGAAAGCUCGAUCCGUCGCCUCCAAUGCGUUCGCAAGCAUCUUCUCCACCAACCCUCCAAUUUUUAGAGAGAGAUUUAGAGAGAUGAGAGAGAUCUCUAGAGAGAGAAAGGAGGGUUUCUUCCCCCCCCUCCAUGCGUGCGUGUGUGUGUGGCCAUGGGUGUGGUCGGCUGAGGAAGAAGCAAAAGCUUCUUUAUAAUACCCUCAACACUAUUCACUCCAGGCAGCUUAAAAUCUGAUAACUUUCGCCGAAGCUCCCUGAAUGUCCGUUUGAGCUCAAACUUGACAGUCAUGUUCGGUUUUACUUAACUUAACAAGCUGACGAUCACUGGUUCAGUUUCGACCCCGUUUGGUCACUGAAAACUGUACCGAACUGCAAUCUUUAUCAGAUAGCUUUCGGAUUUUAUUUCUCACUCUAUGGGUGUCAGAAAAAUAUGAAACCUUAAAUCUAGCCUCAUAAAAAUAUUUCUGACAUCUCCGCCAAUUUUCAUAAUUUUCUGAGACUGUGCAUUUUCUGCUUAUUUUUCUGUCCCGUCUCCAACAGAAAAUUCUAGAUCUUCUGUUUUAAUUCCGAUUUCAGCACAAGUCACCUCUGACUUAUGUUUUACCUCUAUAAAUCUAAUAAAAAUAGUUUCUCACACUAUUUUUAUUUAUUAUUAUUUUUAUACCAAAAUCUGGUAUAUUACAAAACCCAACCCAAAUCAAACUCAAAUCCAAAUCAAGUCUACAAAUACAACCCAAAUCAAACCCAAACUGAAACCAAGUCCAGAUAAAAAUCCAAACCUAAACCCAAAACCCAAAUCCAAACCUAAACCCAAAACCCAAAUCAAGUCCACAUAAAAAUCUAAACCCAAAUCCGAUCAAGUGCACAAAUAAAGACCCAAACUCAAAUCCAAUCCAGUCUACAAAUAAAUCCAAACUCAAAUCCAAUCCGAACCACAAAUACAACCCGAACCCAACUUCCAACUUAGACUCAUGAACCCAAAUUCCUUGAAUCAUGAACCAAAUUGAAACCCAAGUUCAAGAAUCAAAAACCCAAAUUCCUUGAGUCAUGAACCAAAUCGAAACCCAAGUUCAAGAAUCAAAAACCCAAAUCCAUGAACCAAAUGAACCAAGAUCCAAAAAUCAGAAACCCAAGUUCACAUACCAAAUCUAUGAAUCGCAUCCAAGUUCAUGAAACAAAUCCCAUACACCAAAUCUCAUGAACCAAACCAUACCAAAAUCUCAUGAACUAUAAAUCAAGUUCAUGAACCAAAUGAACCAAGUUCGCGAACCAUGAUCCAAAAAUCAGAAACCCAAGUUCAUGAACCAAAUUCCUUGAAUCAUGAACCAAAUCCCACAUACCCAACCUCAUGAACCAUACCCAUGAACCAUAAACCAAAUCCACGAACCAUACCCAAGUUCAUGAACCAAAUCCUAUAGACCAUGAACCAAAUCUCAAAGCUCAUGAACCAUAUACCCAACCUCAUAAACCAUGAACCAAGUUCAUGAACCAUGAACCAAGUCCAUAAACCAAAUCUAUGAACCAUACGCCAAAUCUCAUAUCCAUGAACUAAAUGAACAAAGUUCGUGAACCAUGAUCUAAAAAUCAAAAACCCAAGCCCAUGAAACAAACACCACGAACCAUAUCCAAGUUCAUGAACCAAAUCCCACAUACCCAACCUCAUGAAGCAUAAACCAAGUUCAUGAAUCAAGUUCAUGAACCAUGAACCAAAUUCAUGAACCAAACCUGUAAGGUACCGGACUUCUAAAAUUAUGAAGUUACGGUGUACAUUUGGUUGGAAAGCUAUUUGAAUAGUUCCGGGGAGGUUACGGUGAAGUUCGGAAGCAUUCGGGCAUUUUCGGAGCGCGUUGGCGCGAAAACGGGACGCGAAAGGCUAUGUUGGACCACGGACUAAAUCCGACAAAGGCGUGGAUGAAAAGAUGGUUUAAAUACGCUUGAAAACAUGUUUUGAGAGUCUCGGUUCGAUUUGAAACGAAUCGGAGACUCACGGAGCGAAAACGAGCGAAAACAGACCAAAAUUGGCGAAAAGGCUGAAAUUUUGGCUAAGUUUGAAAAUGCUGAUUUUCUGGACCUACGGGGUCCGAGACGCUUUUGCUUCUUCGUGAUCCGGCCACACCCAUGAGCCCGACACAUGCGCACGUUUGGAGUGGGGGGAAGAAACCUUGUUUUCUCUUUGUGGCGGUUUCUCCUCUAUCUCUCUAGAUCCAUCUCUCUAAACCUUGGAUGGUUGGUGGAGAAGGAUGCUUGUGAACGCGUUGGAGGCGACGGAUCGAGCUUUCGUGCGCCCGUUUGAGCGGGGUGUUUUCGUCUCGGCGUUCGCAUUUCGGUAAGCUUUUAGGAUUUGGUUUAAUCCUUUAUGCUUUAAGUAUUCUAAUGAUCCUCUAGUUUGCUUUUUUAGCAUGUUUAUCCAUGAGAUUAUGGGUUCUUUGGAUUAUUUUGCGGUUAGUAGCAUAUUAGGGCUCCGAAUGGGGGUUUUUGUAAAAUAUUUGGGUUUGAUCUUAUUUGACUCUCCGUAAACCUAAUUGCUAGGUAUUCUGACGCGUUGGCGAAGUCGGUUCGGCGAUUCGUCGAGCCGUUGUGAAGUUAUUGAAGAAAUGGACUAUUUAGGCUUCGUUUCCGCCUGGAGGGCCGAGGCGAUGUCUUAAAUUCAUGGAAAUGGAUUUGGAGCAUCGUGGCGGCAUAACCGUAGACCUUUAAUUUUCGGAUCCGUGAUUUGGCGGCCGUUUGGUGGUCGCGACUGCAGAGAUUUGGCUGUGCCGGGUGCCGGGUGCCGCGGGAGGCCGAUUGCAAGUGUCUACAAGCAAUCGGAGUGUGAAUUGAGGUGGGUUGUGUUUACCGAAGCGAUUAGGUCGCUUUCUAUGUCUAAAGUGUAGUAUGUUUACUAUUGAUGCAUGCAUAUAGUAUGCUGUUUAAGGUUGCAUAAGAUAAUAGAUAUACACGUAUGUUAUUUGAGAAUGCUUGAUAAAGUAUGCUAAUGCCUACGAAUGCAUGAUAUGUAUAGUUGCCACAUGAAUGCAUGAGUUGAUGUUAAUUUAUAUGUGACAUAUUAUGGUAAUGCUAAAUGGAUGUCAAGUUAACGUAUAGAGGAUUAUGUACUAAUUGAGAAUGUGCAUGUAGUACAUGUAUAUAUUAGAUCGAGUGGCAUCGAACCUAGUGUUAAUAAACAUAGGUCGAACACGAGUGGCAUCUAACCUAGUGUUAUUAAACAUAGGUUGAACAUGAAUGACAUUGAACCUAGUGUUAGUAAACAUAAGUUGAAUAAGUGAACCUAGAGUCAAGAUCUAGGUGAGUGGCAUCGAACCUAGUGUUAAAGAACAUAGGUUGUGGAUUAAACCUAGAGUUAAAGUAAACCUAGGUUAUGUGAUAGAGGCAUGAACCUAGAGUCAGUUGGACCUAGGGUGAAAAGGACAUCGGAUCUAGAUAGGUCGAUACUAUAGGGUUAGAGACCAACUCUUGAGUUGUGAAAUGGAUUUCGAAAUCCCUAGUGUUGUGACCGCAAAAAAAGCGGUGGAACUUGUGACAAGAUACAAGAGAUGGCAUUUAGAAUCAUAACUACGGGUAUGUGUGGGUCUCCUCGCCCGGCAGUGAUUCAACGGAUAUGUGCGGUUCUCCUCGCCCGGUAUGCCACGAGAAUAAUGACCCAACGGGUAUGUGUGGUUCUCCUCGCCCGGUAAAAGCUAGAAUGAGUAUGUGUGGUUCUCCUCGCUCAUUUAGCUUAUUGGAUGAUGCCGCCUAGAUUGAUUUGAACCAUUGCUGGGUAAGGGCGAUGUGGUCGCUGCCAGAUGACUAAGUCACGACUUGAGCCAUUGUUGGGUAUGAUGCGAUGAGUUCGUCGCCGGAUGGCUAAGUCAUGACUUGAGUCGUUGUUGGGUUCGAUGCGAUGAGUUCGCCGCCAGAUGGCUAAGUCAAGAGGUGCGGUGGGUUGUGACGGCAGCCAGGCUGAGGUGCAGCCAGUGCGCGGACUAUCCGCGGAUGAUUGACUCGAGACCGAGUCGGGUGGAUAGCUUAGUAGAGGUAGUAGAAAUCUUGAAAGCUAGUGAUAGAGGCAAGAGCUAAGGUAAUAGAGACCUUAGAAGCCAGUUGAACUCGAAUUGUGAACCUAAGGUAGUAGACACCUUAGAGAUGAAUGACAUGAGCUAAGACUAACCAAGUAAAUGUAGAAUCAAUAGAUCUACUAGGUGUUGCAUAUAUUCAUAUUGCAUUGUUGAAUAAAUUACAUAUGGAAUAGCAUUAUUGCAUUUGUGAGGCAAAGCAUGAUAUAUGUUAAUUGCAUUUAAAUUAUAAUUCCAUAUCUAUCUAUUGAACUAAUAUGUUCUUGCCUCCCUUGGACCUACUGGUCGAGUUUUUCCCUUGGGUGGCCGUACCUCUAGAAACCAUGGAGUUGAUUCUCACCCCACGUUGUUUUGGGGUGUUACAGGUUCGCACGUGAGCGGCGCGGCUGCGCGAGGCAAGGGCGUAGCUCCAUAGAUAGCGCCCUACCCCAGAGACCAGAGAUAGUGGUACCCCGAGUCGGCAUAGCCUAGGGGUAUAGGAAAGGAAAAAUAACACAAUAUACUAAAACUUGUAAAUAAAUGAUGUAGUAACUUGAUUGUAUUUGGAAGUCAUAAAAUGUAUUAUGCAAGUGUGAUGUAAAAAUGAAUCUAAUGGGAAUGCUUGUAAUAACAUAGGAUGUGUUAUGUUGUGUGAUACCUUCCUUAUGCAAUCAUUAUACGAAUACUGUUCCUGUUUGGAACCUUUUGUAUUGUACUGUUUGUUGAGCCUUGAACCGUAUAGGGGAGACUCUGUCCGUGAUACAGGGAAAACCCUAUCCGUUCGGCGCUGUCGGCAGUCCGAACCCGGCCAAAUUGGCAUGGGGCUCGGGGUGUGAUAGAAGGUGGUAUCAGAGCAUAAAGUAGAGAAUGGAAAAUGGUUUAGAUGGACCUAGGAGACCCUAGGAUAGUAAACCAUUGGAGAAUAAGGCUCGUGAGAGACGAGGACUUGCGCCUUAUGGCGAAAGGUUAAUUGAUAAACCUCUAAGACGGAUAUUAGAGGUAGACUCGAGGUGUGGCUUAUUCUCAACCGAGGGUGUUCAUGUUGGGCGUACGACAACAUGAAACCGAGUGAUGAGAAUAGACGCCCUUGCAUGACUUUCGCCCGAUUUGAGUCAAUGUUAAAUUGUUUCGUGCUCGACCUACAAGGUUGAGAACUGAUCGAGUUGCCCUGUUUCAGGAAGCGAUGGCACCGCGUAGGCGACCUUCGUCUAGAUCGAUACGGGGUGGGACAGGUGAUGUCCCUGAGCAAUCCGAGGCGGGUGGAGACCCGGUGCUCUGCUAGCAGAUGAGUACCCUCAUGGGCAUAGUGCUGCGACAGGAGGAGCAGAUUAAGGAGCUCCAUGAGUUGUUGGCACGGCAGGCUGUAGCGACUGCGCUGGUAGCAGCGCGCCGUGUAGCGACAGGAGUGGCGAUGGAUUCAGGGGCAGUGGUCCCUGGUUCUGUGGAAAUGGAGGCGGAGAAAGAGCGGGCUUUGGCGGCCCUUAUGACCUGCAAGAGGUUUGAUCCGCCUGUCUAUGAUGGAGAGAAUGUCGAUCCGUGGAUCGUGGAGAUGUGGAUUGACUCUAUGGAAACGCUCUUCGAGGAGCUGUAUACCUUGGAGCGGGACAAGGUGCCCCUAGCCGUGCACUGUUUGAAGUUGUCGGCAAAGGUGUGGUGGAAAGGUAUUCGACUAAAUCGAUUGCCUAGUCUCCCUUCUAUGGCAUGGGAUGAGUUUCGAGGAUUGGUGUUUUCGACUUACUUCCCCGACAUUGAAAAGAGAAAGCUUCAGGACAGGUUUAGGAAGCUGCGACAAGGAAACCGCUUUGUGAGGGAAUACCAAUGGGAGUUUUCCCGCAUCGUGAAUUGCAUCCCGUAUGUGGUACGGGAUGACAAGGAUACGGCCGAUUGGUUCCUGCGUGGACUUCGACCGGAGAUUUAUAAGGAGGUGCAAAUCUUCAAGCUCACAACCUUUGCAGAGGUGUUAGACAGAGUAUUGUGGGCAGAACACGGCGAAGCUUUCGUACGUGAGGAGCACGAGUCUUCUGAGCAUGAGCGGGGAGGGGUGAGGCCACUGUCGAGCGGUUCGGGUGGACAAUCAAGCUCUAGGCGCCACUCGAAAUCGUCCUCUACCCGGUCCUCCCCAGGAUGCGUGAUUUGUGGUGGUCCCCACUGGGCUCGGCGGUGUGUAUUGCGCGAUGGAAGGUGCCUUCGUUGUGAGUAACCGGGCCAUACGCGGGAAGAGUGUCCGCAAAGCGAUAGUCGGGCCUUAACAUUGGCGAUGGCCUUUUCCUCUCCAGGAUAGUCUGCAGGUGUGCCAACUGCGGCAUGGUCGGAAGAGCGGCCGUUCAGGAUGAUGCCACCGAGGGGUUCGCGGAGGGCAGUAAGUGGCCGUGGAUACGCGACCUAGGUGGAGGAACCUGCUACUACCGACGAUGUUAUGGCAGGUAUGAGUUAGUCAAGCAAGCGUAUGCUGCUACCUGAUAUCAAGUUGUUGCAUAGCAUGCAUGUUAAUGGGUGGUCAGUUGCUACUAUUUAUACAUUGCAUAGUAGGAAAUCAUUGGACGGGUAGGUAGAUACCCAGGCAUGCUUGCAUUAUGAGAGUGUGGUGCCUGCUGGAGCAGGUAGAGGGCCAUGUGGCACUAACAAAUUGUUAGUGAUGGUUCCUGGACAAGAAAUGCGACUCGUGGUGAACGUGAAAUAGUGAAGUGACUCUCGAGGCAAUGGGUAGUGGAUUGCGAGAGUCGAGUAGUGACAGAUAAAGUGGUAAGAAUGCCUGAGUAGUCCAAGGAUUCAGAUAUAGUUUCGGUAGAUCGAACACUGAAGGCGAACCACUGUUGCGAAAUUGGUUGAUUAGCGCCGAGUUUGGCCUGUGGGCCUAGUAGUACCUCGAAUUGAGGUAGGUGAGCAGUGCUCGUGUAGUCGGUGUGUAUAAGCAAGGUUGCCUAAUGCUUGACUUAGUGUGGGACGCUAUAGAGGCGUAUAGAGUGCUCGAGUGUGGGUACUCGUAGAGUGCGGUUUCGAUUCAGCCGGGAGAGUGAGUUGGCAGUAGCACUGUAGCAUUGCUAAGUGUGAAGCGGGCCAUGGAUCACUCGUAGGUCUGAUAGCUCGCACUAGGUGCAUAGGAGCCGAUAGUAGCAUAUGUGUGACUCGGUAGAGCAUGUCGUGUAGGACGACGACAGCGGGUAUUGCUUGGGGACGACCUAUGCCUGGACCAUUUGUGAAUUGUGGAGCCUGGGCCCUUUAGGCAGGCGCAGUCAGCUGUGAGUGACAGCGGCCCGGUACCUGUAGGUAGGGCUGAGUUUUGGUCAGGACGAUAGUCCGAGCUUGAACCCGGGAGCGUAGAAUGCCACGUGUUGGAUCUCGAGAUUAAGGAUACACCGAGUGUGUAGUGACCCAAUCUGAGGAUUUGAUGAGGUUUUGGGUCUUGGUUGCUCCUGGUUGGAGUGUGUACGAAUUCCCAAGUGAGAAUUUCGCCCGAUUAUGAUUGGGUCUACGCCAGUGAGCGAGAGACGCUACGCAUAGUUGAGACAAGCUUAGGCGGUAGGCCUACGUAGUAUUGGUGACCGUUGGUCCACCUGUGGAAGCCGACGUAAUCGGUUUAGCCGAUAACUCUGUGGAUGAGUUGGGAUUAGAUUCACGAACGGAGUGUUCGUGUGAGCUCGUUGCGACGGCGAAGUUGAGUUGGUCGUGGCUUAUGAUGGCAAAGGAUGAAAUGCUCUUGUGAGACAUUGAGCUAGUGGAAGCCACGUGAGAAUUGGAGCUUGAGGGUAAUGCUCUUUUGUGGAUUGAGUUGCAGAUGUGCCGGAGUUUGCCAUCUCGUGAUAGAGUAAGGAUCCGGUUGGGAUUGGAGCACUCGCGAUUGGUCGAUGCUCCAACGAUAUUGCUUCCAAGCAAUGCCGGUGAUCGAAUCGGAGUGAAAUUGUCACGCCCCAACCGCGCGGCCCGAAAACGGUACCAAUUUGGUCCGGUUCGAGGGCGGUGGCGCGACCGCCGAACGGACAGAGUUUCCCCUGUCCGCCCAAGGCUAAGCAACAGAUUGUGUACAACAAGUCCCCAGGAAUACAACUUGAAUACAUACACAAUCAAACCACGAUGAACGAGAGCACAAACAGUGCUACAACCAACAAGAGCAAGCGAUACAAGUAAAGCCAUACAAGUAUACAAAAGAGAGAAACUUAGCUAAUUGAGACAUCAUUGAAACGUUUAAACCUCUUUUAACAUCAUUUAAACUUUAAACUUUAAUACAACUUGCAUUCUUUAUCCAAAAUGAAUAUACAUCAUAAGCUCUCCAAAACCUCACCCUAUACAACAUCUACUCUCAAAAUGUAUAACCAAAAGUACAGGGUAGAGCUAAUGCAAGUAGGGAAGGUAAAGCUAUCAACCAACUGCUAAGGCGCUAAGCCCUUGCCGCGAUCCAUCGAUGAAGGUCCGCUGUCCUGUGUACCUGUACCCCCCAAUACCACACGGGGGUGAGAACUACGAAUAGUUCCCAGUGGGUUCGGCCGCCGACUCCGCCGAUCUACCCACUAGGUCUCAAGCAGGCAUAGAGAGAUAUAUAUGCAAUAUAUAUAUAAAACUAAGCUGAACGGAAAGCGGGUAUGUAAACAACUAUAUCAAGCUAUGCCUCAAUUUGGAAUCAUGAAUGCAUGAACAAUAAACAAAGCUGGGUAAGUAAGCAACUAUCAACAUCUACAACAGCUAUCAUAGUAACUAUAAAACAUGCUACUAGGUAAGCAAGUAAGCUGAUAUGAACAAUGAAUAGCUACUAUGAACAUCAAUCAUGGGUAAGACUCAAUAGGUAACCCAAUCUCCAAGUGAACACAAGGUCCACAAGCAAGGCUCACAUAUCAAUCUCCUAGGGAAGUCGAGCUGGACUAUCCCCGAGUACGCCUGCGGAUAACAAGCGGCUAUCCGAGCAGCAAGCAGGGCUGCCUCUCUAGUGACCAAACUCCGGAGCGCACAACUUGAGGGGAGCGACCCCACCAAGCGCAGACAGGCAAUGUGAGCAAGAUCAUCUCACGAGCAACAACAACAACCCCUUUGAGGGUAAUAUCAUCAUGGAAGCAAGGUAUACAUGUACCUAAUCUCAUAGUGUCUCAACUACACUAUUGUGAUCAUCUCAAGGAAACAUCAACAAUGUCAUUCAUCAUAGUUUUUCUAACUAGAUGCCACUUGUCAUAGUUUUCUAAACUAGAUGCCACUCGUCCAUUUGACUCAUUAUCAACACUAGUUUCAUCAUACUAGUUCUUUAGCAACAUAAGCAUAAUCAUCUCAUAUAGGGUUAAAUCUCAUCAUCAAACUCUAUCAUUUAAUCUCAUGCAUACUAGUUUAUAAAUCAUUCAAUCAACCACAUCUAUAGCUACUAGCAUGCAAAUCAAGCAAUCAUAAUAAAUCUUUAACCCUAUAAGAACAUGCACAAUAUGCAAAGAGAUCAUUAUCAAACUUAGACAUAGAGGGUGGCCCAAUGACUUCGGGAUGGCACUCUCCCACCUUAGGCGAUGCCGAAAACACUCCGAGACGCGUUCUCGGGCUAGUCUUGUCGCCGCUUAAUUUUUCGUUGGGUUAGCUUUAACCCUUUAGCGCAUCAAAUGGUGAUAACUUCGCGCCCACUCGUCGGAUCGACGAACCGUCUUCGCCUACGCGUUUAUAAGCAUAGAAAUUAGGUUUCUAACCACUCAAAAGAGAUCAAACCUUAAUAUUAGCAAAAUCCCCAAAUCUAACCCUAGGUUUAGCAACAAUAGAGAAAUCAUGGUUUCAAACUCCAAAUUUGGGAUUGAACCUUCUCUUAAGCUCCAAUGGUUUCCAUUUGAACCAUUCUUAAGCAACAAAACCCUUUCCAAAACCUAGGUUUAGCAAUAAUGAGGAAACCAUGGGUGCUAGCCUCAAUGUGAGCUAGAUCCAUCAUCCCUAAGCUCAUUAGGUUCCACUUGAACCAUUAAAAGCAACAAAAGCCAUCCAAACCCUAGAAAUCCAAAACUAGGGUUAAGGCUUACCUCUAGGGUUUGCUCCAAAGCAAGCCCUAAGCCAAGAAUGAGAUGAAGAAGAGCUUCAAAACCUUCUUCUCCUUCUUCUCCUUCCUUUUCUUCCUCUCUUUUUCCUUCUUUUUCCUUCUCUUUUUCUUCUCCUUCCUUUUUCUCUUCAACCGGUUAGAGAGAGAGAGGGAGCUAGAGAGAGAGUGAGCUGAGGAGAGUGAAAGAGGAGAGAGCUGUUCUAGGGAGACGGAUGGAACUUGUACCGGUACACGGUUUCUUGUACCGGUACAAGCCCUGCGCAACAGCGAAACAGNGAUCAGGAUUAGGAACGUGAGGGACGGGGUCUUUUGCGACUAUGUUGAGCGAAAGUAUUAUGAUUGGGUUAUACUUAUAACUCCAAAAUUGUUGGAGUUCGAUUAAAAUGAAUAACCUCUAUGUCCUUCCAAAAUCACGUUGGCGGCCGACAACGUGAUAUUGGGGAAUAGUGGGCGGUCAUUUCAUUACUUUCGCAUGACUGGGAUUUUAUAAUUUUGAGUGGGGCUACGAUAGCAUGGGUUGUUUUAACCUGUGCCUAUUUUGUUUGUUGCAGCUUGCAAUGUCAAAGAUGCACCCUACGGCGACUGAGACAUCCGACCCAGAAAGACGUGCACCUGCUGAAUUUAGCGAGGUUCGGGAAUUAAAAGAGCAGUACAUGGCUACUCUAGUUGGAGUGGUGGAGCGACAAGCGAAUGUGACGCUACUUCAAGCCGAGGCUUUGCGCCGACAGGAUGAAGGAAUCAGACGGUUGGAGACCCUCUUGAUCCAACAGACGGCUGAUCUCAAGAAAUGCCACGAGGUUUCGGAUCGUACUUUGACCGUGAGAAAAGGUGUGGAAUACACUGAAAGAGCCAAAGAGGCUACCAAGGGCGAUCAACUACAUGUCGGGGAAUCAUCAAGGAAACUAAAGAAGAAUCAACCUUGGAAACGUGGUUCUUUUUCUAAGCAAAGAAGAUUGAGUGGACGAUUACCUCGGCUAUGUGUAAUUUGUGGAGGUCCGCAUGUUCCCCCAAAGUGUCCUCAGCAGAAAGGAAAGUGUUUUGUAUGUGGUCAGGAGGGCCAUUUUCGCUCUGAAUGCCCCAGAAAUAACAUGUUGACUAAGGUAUCUGCACCGACUUUGUUGCAAAGAGUACCCAGUGGAGGUACGCCAACGAAAUCUUAGAGUCAGAUACGACGGCAGAGAUAACUACUGCAGGUAGUACUUUAUGCAAUGUUCCUAUGAUUCGAUAUGAUCAUAAUGAUUGCUUUAGUUGCAUCUUUGAUCGGCUGUUGGCUGAGUCGAAUAGCAUUAUUUCUUUCCUUAAUGCAUGUAGGAUUGAUUUAAUAGAAUGGUUUGAUUGAAACUUAGUUCUGAGAUACUUUGUACUAUGAUUUGUGCGAACUAAAUUGAUUCGCCUUGGAACUCUGAACAUUAUACAAUGCAUCUUGAAGGGUGUAACCUCGCUGAUUGCGAGAAUGGUCAUGUUACCUAAAUUAGGUAAUUAUGAAAAGGGUGGAGCCUAAUUGGCUGAUACUGUGGAAUUGUAAGAACACUCAAGUGAAGGGUAGUUCUUGAGUAGUGGUUGUGUGCUAUUUCUAAACAAGUCACAAAUUGUGAACUUGAUGAAUAGAGAAUGUUUUAUGCUUAGGGCUUCAUUUUGGUGAAGUAAUUUCACUUGUGGUGAGAUUAGAUGAGCUAUUCGACUAUGUGUCGAAUAUCGUGAUUUCAAUUAGAAACAUAAUUAGUGGUUGGAUUAACUCAAGAUCUGAUGAUCUUUUGAUCAGCCUUUAGUAUUGGAUGCAUGCUAUAGAUUGAGUAGCAAUCUGAGGAAGCUGUAGUCUUCUAUGAUAGAAAAAGGUUAUAAAGGAUUUAUCCAGUUGUUUGUUCGGUGAAUCCUGCAAGGCAGAUAAUGAUUGACCAGGAAGAUGAAUUAAAAAGAUUGAGAUAAGACUCUCCUAAUGGCACUAUGCAUCUUGGAAUAUUGAGAAAGAGAAGACCCAGCUACUUGUUUCUUUCUCUUCUGAUUCUAGUAACGUGUAAUCGGAAUUAAGCUUCAGGGAGCAAACUGCAUGAGGUUAGUCUUUGGAAAUUAAUAUCUUGACUGAUAGUUAUAUCAGGAUAAUUCUCAUACAGUUCGAAGGCAAAUGGUAAUGCUUCAAGUGUAGGUUAACGAAGACUUUGUUCAGAUUUCUUCCCCGGUGACGAAAAAAAAUAUGUAGAAUAAUAGCAAUAGAGAACUUAUGGGUGAAGUAUAAACUGAUUCCCCUUUUAUUGCCUAAAUUGGAUUUGGGACAAUAAAUACUUUGAGCAUCACACUCUCAGAACAGUAUCAAAGAAAGUUUAUCUGAAUUGAUCUACUUAUAGGAGCAGAUAGUGAUGUCACAAGUGAUUUUAGUAGAAGCAAAGCUCCAACUUAAGCUUGCAUAAAAUGAUUUGAGUAUAUGAGGAAAAUUUUCCAGUGAUGAAAUGGUCAUGAUUUACUUUAUGAUUGGUGUAAAGGAAAGCAGUAAAGAUGUAGAGACAGCAUUAAUGGAAUUUGUCUGAACAUAAGUAUUGAUGUGGAGCAGCAUCCAUUAAUGUGAAUUGGGAUUCUCGCCUAGUGGCAGAAUGAAAUAAGAUACUAAGGUAUUUGAAUAUAAUACUGAAUAGUUAAUCAGGAAUCCACCUUUAAUGGAUUGAUGGAUAAGCAAUUUCAAUUUGCCAUUGAAAGGGGACUACCAGGAAUAACUAGUUCGUUAUCAAUAAUUGCUGGAUAAUGCAAAAUAAUCAUUGAUGUUUGAUCACCUUGUAAAACACAAGUUGUACAUCAAAGGUAACCUAGGAAGCCUAUUAAAGAAUGGUUACGCUCUAAUUAUAUAAUCAAGACGGGACAAGUUGGGCUUCAGCCUCAACCUAUUUGAGAAAAUAGGAAAUGAAUUCCUCUUGGAAUAGAAUUGCACUGGGAGUGCAAUCUUUUAAAGAGUUUUGACUUUUGAGAAUCAGUGGAUGAUUGAGAAUUCUUUGGAACUCAAGAUAGGUACCAAAUGUAACUACUAAGCACUAUGGAAAAUGGUACCCUUGGAAUUCUUCUUAUCGAAUGAAUGAUUAGACCCCUACAGAUGAGCAUGAUGAGAAGGGUUGGAUUUUAUCCUCGAAUUAUUGAAAAAGUUGAAAUGGAAUUCAUGGAUUCUAUGGAUGAAAGAAGAGCUUUUUAUUACAAGACAGUGAUAUGAACUCAUGAACAAUGAUGGAAGGGAUUUCCCAUCCUAUUUAGAUGNUCUCCUCUUCUUCUUCUUCUUCUUCUUCUCCCUCUCUUCUUCUCUCUCUAAAAUGCCAAGGGUUGAGAGAAAUGAGGGAAAGAGAGAGAAGAAGGGCUCUCUAUAGGCUCUAAAGUAACAAAAUCCAUGUAAGCCCCUCAAAAAUCCAAAAUCACAUCAGCCCGGUCUGGGCAGUUUCCGCCCAGAGGGACCGGUCUCUCCCCAGCAGGGACCGGUCUCUCGCUGCGAACCCGAAAACCCAGCGUUCGGGAACCGGUCUCUCCCUGCGCGGGACCGGUCUCUCACUGCGAAGACGCGCUCGGGGACCGGUCUCGACUGCCAGGGACCGGUUGCCUCGCGGCUACGCAGCACUGUUCACUGGGGGACCGGUCUCUCAUUCCAGGGACCGGUCCCCGAGAGUAAAAACUCUCAGGACUUGCCAAAACUCUCGAGAUCGAACUUUUAGACCGGUAUACCAUCGACGGUCCUCCACCAAGUGUGGAAAAGUUCGGAAUACAAAUCGAACACUCGAACCCCGCACUUUGCAAGGGUCCAGUGUGCUACAUAGAGCUCAGAGGAAGGAUUUUGCACCUUUCCCACUUUCUCUCUCUAGGGUUUCUCUCUCUUCGAGUAGAAAUCAUCGAUUUGCGCCUAUUUCUCGCCGUUCGUCGCGCUAGUUGGUUUGUAGACUUUGGAGCAGCUACGAGGGGGUGGAAAGGACUCGCAUGGGAGGUAUUUUCGCAGCUCCAACUCUCAGGGAAGCUGAAUUGAAGUCUAAUGAGGUAAACAAGCUGGUUUCUAUCUCUAGUUUGAGAUUAGUGAUAAUUUUUGAUGUUGUUUCUCGAUUCUUGCUACCAUCUAGUUUAAGAUGGUUUAAAGCAGCAAUUGAGAAGUGGUUUUGCUGUAAUUCUUCAUCCCAAAGUCAGAGUUAAAGCCUUCGAGGCAAUUAAUGAGUUUUUUCUUUAUUUCGAUGAUGAAAACGAUGAUAUUAGUGAAGUCAUGAUGCGAUUUUGGGAUGUUUGCUUACAGCAGGUUUCCAAAUUAAUUUGAGCUGAAUUUGCGACCUUGGGGACUGGUUUAGAAGGUGUUCCAACUAAAGGUAAGCUGAAAUUGCUGUGAGGAAACUGAAUUUUCAAGAUUCCGACUAUAUCUAUUGAUAUUUGACGACUAUGAUGCCGUUUUGGAAAUUGUUCGCAGCGAGCUUGCAACGGACUUUCAGAGUAUCUCCGGCUGAUGUGUAAAGGCUUUUAGAAGCUUAACUUGAGGUAUUAACUGAGCCAAAAAUAGGAAUUUAAGCUAUUGCUUUGUACUAAGUGCAAUGUGUGCCGAAAUUGGAUAUUUCGGUCGUAGUUUGAUGCGCCUUUCAUGUUUCGUUUUCAGCAGAGUUGGGACUCCGUUGAGUAGAGUUUCGGGACUUCUUGUGGCUGGAUUGAGCUUCACAAUAGGUGGGUCGGAUCUUCCCAAAAUGGGUGAAUUUCCUCUAUGUCUCCUUUGACAUCUGAGUUGAAGUUAUUUCAUAUUCUUGUGAAUAUAUGUAUAGUUUAAAGCAAUGAGACAUGCACUGAUAUGUAGAUCAUAUCGGAAAUGAUAGCAUCUUUAAAUGGUAAUGAAAGAUUCAUGACUUGUCCAUUCUACAUGGUUACCUGUUAAGUACUAUGGAUUCAUGAUACUAGUAGCUGGCAUAUGCAAUUUGGCUUGAUGUUAUCCACGAGGAUAGAAUGGUAAGUUCGUGAAUGGACUAAUUAGUUCUGUUGAACAACAAAGAGAUUGAUGUAUUUAGGAUUGAGCUAUGCAAUGUUAUGUAUAAUUGCUAUACUCUGAAAGUUCAGGUAAAGGCCUUUGUUUGGCAUAUGCAUUUCUAAUUGUAGAAUGAAUGGCAUAGAGAUCAUGUGAAGAGUGUUUUAUCGCUUGUUUUACUUGCUUGCAUUACCUUGUUAGUUUCUACUUUCACAUGAUAGACUUGUAUUAUGGUAUAUGUUCUAGUAAGUAACUAGACUUUCAUAUGAUGGCAUAACUUGAAUGAUUAUUCAACUGAAUAUAAUCUAGUAAAUAACUAGAUUUGGAUAUGAUAACAUACUUGUAUAGUCAAGUAGAGAUUUAUAUUGGACUACAGGAUAUGUGCCAUGAGUCUAUGAACAGAACCUUAGUAAACCACUUUCCUUAUGUGUAAGGAGUAGUGAGAGAUUGUGAGUGACUGACCAGGUAUAGCCUGAUAGAAUCACUAGUGUGAUGUAAAGCUUUAACUUGUUAAGUUAUAUUAACGACUGGUAGAAUCUUGUCAACAAGUUGUUGAUAGUGACUUAUGAUUGGGUACUACAGUGCCGACCUUGGGUCGAGUUGAGAUUCCAUGUCAGAGACAUGAUGCUGUUGAGAUAUUUGUACCUUGGACUAUAGCUAGCAUGCCAUUAUGCUCUUUCGUACAUGCUUGCGGGGGUCGCGCCCCCCAAGCCCCGCGUUCCGGAGUGGCUUGAGUUGAGAUUCCAUGUCAGGGACAUGAUGUUGUUGUGAGACUGGUACUGUGGACUACGGCUUGCAUGCCAUUGUGCGCGUUUGCACACGCUUGCGGGGUCGCUCCCCCCCAAGCCAGCACUCCCGAACAGCUUAGCGACAGAUGCUCGCAAAUGUACGAAGUGAGCGCCGAAAUGGAAUGCCGUGGGGGAGGCUCAUUCCUAGAGUGGGGAUGUUGACUACCACGGGGCCAUUAGGCACGGCGCGGCUUGAACUUACCUUGUGUAAGUCCGUUGGAAAUUGGGUUAUGUCAAGUACUUUAACCUUAGCUGGACAGAGUAGUAAAGUUACUAUAUGUCUUGGGUUAAGUGAACUUAUUGAUGAACAUACUAGAAAGUUGACAUCUAAAGUGAGCUUAGUGAUGAACAACCUAGAAGUUGACAUCAUGAUUGGUUAGCAACAUAAUGAAUGACAUUAUGUCUCUUUCUUGCUAUGGAACAAGGUAAUUACAUGAUAUCAUCUGUAAUUUCAGUAAAGUGAAUUAUCUUGCAUACAUUCUGAUAUAUGUUUGGUUAAAUUGUCAAGUAAUAUGAUUGAUAGAAUCUAUCAUGAUAACUGAUACCUGCAAUCUAUUGUUAUUUAUUUAUGGUUGAGCAAAUAGCAUGAGUAGUUUACUUCCAUAUCUGUUGCAUAUAAUUGCUUAUUGUAUUAUCUGCAUUUACUCGCUUAUUUAUUGCUAUCUACUCAUGCCACAGUUGACCUAGUGGUGUACUUCGCCACUCUCGGCGGCUUACCCACUGGGAACUAUUGUUUAAUAGUUCUCACGCCCUCUUUGUUGUUGUUUUUUUUACAGAGCCUUCCACAGCGGGAAAGGCUAGGGUUCCUGGCGAGGGGUCAGCGACUAGCUAGAGCCUUUUUGGACGUGUACUAGAUCACCUCCAGCAGUUUAUAUAGUUUAGUACCGAGAUGUAUAUUAAGUUAUUGUAAUUGUACUUUAUUCUUAUUUCCUGUUCUAAGGCUUGGAUUGUAUAAGUCUAAACUUAUAAGUCUUGCUCUGAUUACCUAGUUGAAUUAUAUGCUUUUACUAUAUGGUUUGUAGACGCCUUGUGUAUACUUGCGUUGUGGUGUACACGGCGGGUCUGUGCACGCAACCGGAUAUGCUCCGCUGGUACCCGGGCGUGACACAUAUAAAGUGUGGUAACAAUUGCACUUAGGCCCCUCCACUGUUUCCCAUUUAACUGUCCAGACUGGGCAUUUUUCGCUGUCGGGGACCGGUCUCCCCGACCAGGGACCGGUUCUCGAACGUGGGUUUUCCAGGACUUAGCCAAUUUUCUGGCUUUUUCAGCUGCUGCGCGGCGAGGGACCUGUCUUUCCCUCAGGGACCGGUCUCCCGAGGACCGGUCUCAUUGCCAAGGACCGGAUGCCUCAGGAUUUCCUGGCAGGCUACGUGUACGGGGACCGGUCCCCGAGAGCACAAAAUCUGGAACUUCGCCAAAUUUUGAAAUCUCACUCUCUCGGGUCCCUUUACACCAUAUAUAGGCUCCAAUGCACAUAGGGCCUAUACCCACUCGUUCCACUCCGCGUUCUGCUCGUUGCGACGGAACACGGCACGAUUUAUGAGGGAUGUGGUAUGUUACAUUCUCCACCCCUUAAUUUAGUUUCGUCCGCGAAACUACUAAGAUUGAAAUUUAAAUUUCAUACCUCACUUUAGAUCCUCGAAAAGGUGAGGAUAACGCUCCCCCAUUUCGCUUUCGAGCUCCCACGUUUCCUCCCGGUCAUCGUGUUCGCACCAAUGGAUUUUAACAUGCGGAAUUUCGCGGUUCCGAAGCUUUCGCACUUCCCGAUCGACAAUAUACGCCGGGAACUCCUCAUAUGUCAUAUCCUCUUGAAGCUCUAUCGGUAUAUACGAGAGGAUAUGGUCUGGAUCGUACACAUACUUGCAGAGUUGGGAUACAUGGAAUACAUCAUGUACUCCCGUAAGCCUCGGUGGUAAUGCCAACUUGUAGGCCACCGCGCCAACUUGUUCCAAAAUCUCGAAGGGUCCGAUAUAGCGAGGACUUAGCUUCCCGCGAACACCGAACCGCUUAACUCCUCGCAUCGGCGAUACUUUUAGAAAUACGCGGUCUCCUACCGCGAACUCGAUAUCCUUUCGCCGCUUGUCGGCAUAACUCUUGUGCCUCGAUUGCACCGUCAAUAAUCUUUGUCGGGCAAGGCAAACUUUUUCUUCCGCCUCCCGCACCACAUCCGGGCCAAGAACCAUCUUCUCGCCCACAUCGCUCCAGUGUAUUGGCGAGUGACAUUUCCUUCCGUACAGGGCCUCGAAUGGCGCCAUCGCAAUGCUUUCUUGAUAGCUAUUGUUGUAUGCGAAUUCCGCCAUCGGUAAGUGAUCGUGCCAUCCGCCCUUAUAAUCAAGCACACACGCUCGAAGCAUGUCCUCAAAUAUUUGAAUAGUCCUUUCCGAUUGACCGUCACUUUGAGGAUGGAAUGCCGUACUAAAAUCGAGCCGCGUGCCUAAUGCAUUUUGUAAGCUCUUCCAAAAAUGAGAUGUGAACCUAGGGUCCCGAUCCGAUACAAUAGAUACCGGAACCCCAUGAAGUCUCACCACCUCGUCAAUAUAGACUUGAGCCAACUUGUCUCCCGACCAAGUAGUGUGGAUCGGCAAAAAGUGUGCCGAUUUUGUCAACCGGUCCACAACUACCCAAAUCGCGUCAUGUCCACCUUGUGAUCUCGGCAAACCUGUCACAAAGUCCAUUGCGAUGUUUUCCUAUUUCUAUACGGGUAUAGGUAGACUUUGCAAUUUUCCCGCCGGAAAUCGACGCUCCGCCUUCACUUGUUGGCACGUGAGGCACUGCGCCACGAACUCUCCUAUAUCUUUCUUCAUGCCCGGCCACCAAUAAUGCAAUUUCAGGUCUCGAUACAUUUUGGUGCCGCCCGGGUGGAUGCUAUAGGGAGAUUGAUGUGCUUCUUGUAUAAUCGCCCUCCGAAGACCGUCGUCCUUGGGCACGCACCAACGAUCCCGAUACCGUAGUGUGCCGUCGAUUCCAAUGCCAAAAUCAUCGGAACUACCGCUCUCAACUUUGCCCAGCACUUUUUGGAGAAAUUCAUCCGAUGUUUGUAAUCCUUUAAUUUUCUCCAACAAGGUUGGUUGCACAACUAAGGUGGCAAGUGUUGCCGGCACUCCCGGUGCCACAACUUCUAGACCAAACCGCUGCAUCUCCUUUUGCAAAGUCGGUUGAGGUGUAAUCUCCGUUGCCAAAUAUUUCGCCGACUUUCUACUUAAAGCAUCGGCCACGAUGUUCGCUUUCCCAGGGUGGUAGAGAAUCGUGACAUCGUAAUCCUUGAGCAACUCUAACCACCGCCGCUGUCGCAAGUUUAGCUCCUUCUGGGUGAACAAGUAUUUGAGACUCUUAUGAUCAGUGUAGAUCUCACAAUGUACCCUAUACAGGUAAUGCCUCCACAAUUUUAGCGCGAAAACAACCGCCGCUAGCUCAAGAUCGUGAGUUGUGUAGUUCUUUUCAUAACUCUUCAACUGGCGCGAAGCAUAGGCUAUGACUCGGCCGUUUUGCAUUAAGACACACCCGAGACCGACGUAUGAAGCAUCACUGUAUAUGACAUAACCCUCUCCCGGCGUCGGUAAAGCGAGCACCGGAGUAGAGGUCAGUCUAUUCUUUAGCUCCUCAAAGCUCCGCUCACACUCGGGGCUCAAAAUAUACUUCACCCCUUUGUGCGUAAGGCGCGUUAGUGGAGUCGUUAUCCUGGCAAACCCCUCAACGAACCGCCGGUAAUAGCCCGCAAGUCCAAGGAAGCUACGAAUCUCCGCUACACUUGUCGGGCGAGGCCAAUCCUUAAUCGCCUCCACAUUCUUUGGGUCCACCAAGAUGCCAUCUCCAGAUACAACGUGACCCAAGAAGGUAACCUCCAAAAGCCAAAACUCACAUUUCUUUAGUUUUGUGUAGAGCUUUUCCUUUCGGAGUAUCUCCAAUACGAGCCUUAGGUGCUCAUCGUGUUCCUCUUCGGUCCGAGAAUAUACCAAUACGUCGUCAAUGAAUACCACGACGCACUGGUCCAAUAGCGGGCGGAAGAUUCGAUUCAUUAGGUCCAUGAAUGCUGCCGGGGCGUUAGUGAGCCCGAAUGGCAUGACCGUAAAUUCAUAGUGGCCAUAUCGCGUACGGUACGCCGUCUUGUGCACGUCUUUGGGCCGUAUCUUCAACUGAUGAUACCUCGACUGCAGAUCAAUCUUUGAAUAUACCCUUGACCCUUACAACUGGUCGAAUAAGUCAUCAAUUCUCGGCAACGGGUAUUUAUUCUUGAUCGUCAUUCUAUUCAACUCGCGGUAGUCAACGCAGAGUCGGAGUGUGCCGUCCUUCUUCUUUACAAAUAGCACCGGAGCUCCCCACGGGGACACGCUCGGCCGUACGAAGCCCUUAUCGAGCAAGUCUUGCAACUGGGCUUUCAACUCUUUUAGCUCCACUGGUGCCAUUCUAUAUGGAGCCUUCGAAAUUGGCGCCGCCCCGGGAAUGAAGUCAAUAACAAACUCGACUUCCCGAUCUGAGGGCAGUCCCGGUAACUCCGCUGGGAAUACAUCCGGAUACUCCCGCACAACUCGAAUACUUUCCAGUUCCGGGUACCCCUUUUGAGGGUCUACGAUGGUCGCCAAAUAAGCCUUGCAACCACCUUUGAUCAUUCUCUUCGCCCUCACCGUCGAUAUAGUUGCUGCGAAGCGUUUGCCUUUACACGCCCGGUACACAAACUCCUCUUGGUUAGGCUCACAGAACGUGAUCACCCUUCUUUCGCAGUCUAUAACCGCGUAAUACUUGGAGAGCCAAUUGAUCCCCAAGAUUACCUCGAAGCCCCACAUUUCUUUUAACACUAGAAGGUCGAUCGGCAUAAUCCAAUCACCUAUUUGCACUGGGCAGUCCAAGCACUCAUCGUAGACAUUGAACGAGUGCUCAGGAGUGUUCACCGACCAAUACUCCUCAUUAUGAGUGAUCUCUAUAUUAUGAGCUUGUGCAAAUGAUGCUAAUAUGAAUGAAUGAGAUGCACCCGUAUCGAAUAUGGCUCUAGCUCUAGUGCCUCUGAUAAGAAUAAUACCUGCCACCACGUCGUCGGGAACUAUGAUCGGCUGCUCCUCCACCUGAGUGGCAAAAACCCGCCCACUAGGUGCUCGAGAAGCCUCCGGCUGACGAGGCGCCGACGAUCGUCCAGCAGAUACGGCGGGUGGCAGUCCCGCAAGCUGUCGGGGUGCAUACUGAGCUGAGGCUGCCGACGGAGCUGGGGACGCGCCGCCUGGGCACUCUCGGCCAAUGUGGCCCGCCUGGCCACACCGAAAACACCGCCCCUCUCAUGGUGGGCAAGCGGUAACCCGGUGGUCUUCACCGCAGAUCACACAUGGAUAGGUGAUACGGCUCUGGGUCUGACUCCUUCCUCCCCGCCACUGUGAUCGCACCAGCCGGUCACUUCUUGAUCUUAUCUCUUUCCCUGUCCUUCUCAAAAGUCUCGCGCUCAUCACGCGGGAUGGCAUUCCCGCGCUCCACCCAAAGCGCGCGAUCGAGCACUUCCUCGUAGGUCUUCAAGCGGAAUGCAUGAAUAACCUUCAAAAUCUCGGGUCGCAACCCACGCUCGAAUACUUCCGCUCGGUCCCUAUCGUCAUGAACCAAGCCCGGCACACAGUUAAUCAUGUGCGUGAAUUCCCUCUCGUACUCCCGCACUAAUCGGUCUCCUUGCCUUAGCUUCCGAAAAUCCUCCUUGAUUUUUGUUUUGUCGCUCUCGGGGAAAUAUUCCAUAAGCUCAUCUCCCGAAACACCUCCCAAGAAAUAAAAUGGUGCUCUAGCGAGCAAUUUCUCUUCGCUUGAUUCCACCACAACCGGGCUGACCCAUCGAAAUAAUGAGCUGCAAGGUGAACUUUAUCCUUUUCGAGGGUAUAGAUAUCCUCGAACAAGGCCUCCAUCGUGGCUAGCCAACUCUCCGUCGUCCAUGGGUCUUUCACAUCCCCGUUGAAGGUCGGAGGGUUGAAUCGCUUGAAUGUCGUCAGCGCCGCCAACGUGCGCUUCUGCUCGGCCUCGAGUACAUCGGGAAUAGGAGCCGAUGAACCCGAUGCCGUCGGAGGAAUGGCCGUCACUGGUGCUGCCGCCAUCGCAGGAGGUGGUGCUACAGGAGCAGCAGGUGCGGGUGGAUCCCUCGGCACUGAUGCCGCCUCUACCUGUUGCGCCAUCAUCUCGUGGAGCCGUCCAAUCUGCUCCCCUUGCUGUCGCAUAGCCCCGGCCAAAGCCACUACCUUGGCUCGCAACUCACGCACUUCGUCUGACCCCGACUGCUCGGGCUCCUCCCGAGGCUCCGCCGGUGUGGACCUCGUGACUCUCCUUGGCGGUGCCAUCGCGUCCUGAAACGCAAUGCACACACACAUUAGCACUCGAAACACGUGACUCUUACACGUUCCAAAUAUCUACCCAAUUAAGCGAAAGCAACAAGCAUAAUCGUUUCCACUCUUGGUGUCAUGUGGUCGGCCGCCCCACAAGGUCCCUUAAGUAGACAACAAUUAAGCCUUCUAAUCCAUCUCUACCUCCUUCUAGAGAAGUGUUAUCAUUGACCCAAUCACUCGCUUUCGCAAAAACCAAGUCCUCGUUAAACGUUUUCCUAAGUCCCUAUGGUCCCCAACCUAUGGUUUCUAGGUCAUUCCUAGACUUUUGCUUUCCACUUCGCUCUGACACCAUUAUAUCUGUCACGCCCCCAAUCCCCGCCAAUUUGGUCGGGUUCGGGUCACGUCAACAGACGCUGAACGGACAGAGCCUCCCCUGUCUGUCCAAGGCUCUUACAACAUGUAUAAAUAAGCAAUCAACAAGAGAUUUUCAUAUAUAAUACAAGGCUUGCACGAGGGCGAGCAACAACGGAAGCGAAAGCUCUAAGCUACAUCAUAUAACAUACAAGAUACUUAAUUGCAUUUGAACCAAAUACAAGUAAAUAAAACUAUUACAUUUCCAUUCAACCAUCAGUUCUUUUUACAUUUAGCCAUCCACCAAAAUUACAUGAUUGUUUACAACUUUACAUUUCUAAAUCAACAAAAUAAAGUUGAUGCAUGUAUACCAAAAGGGAAAUGGCUAUAAAAUAGGAAAAGUCCCGGUGGCCGCUAUCUACGGCGCCAAACCCUUGCCUCGGUCCUCCGCCGCCCCGCUCGUGCUAGGACCUGUAGGGUUAGUGGUGUGAGAACUACAACGAAGUUCCCAGUGGGUUCGGCAUUCGAUCUCGUCGGCUUACCCACUAGGUCUAUCCAGGCAUAAGAAUUUCAAGGAAAGAAAAGUAACCAGUUCUAAUGCAACUAAUACUAUGCCUGCAAAAGAAUGUCAGUGGAUACAUAUACUCGAUGCAAUAAUAGAAAAUGCAUGCAUGCUCAAAUCAUAAUAAGCUUUGGCUCUUACCCAAUCUUACCGGUUAACCUUGUUAACCCCAAUAACUCAUAACCCAAAUCCCUUUAUUACCGGGGAGGCUCCAAGCACUACCUACCCGAGGGACCGUCUUCAAGGACCGCGCUCCCUGUGGUGACGAUUUUCGGAAACGCACCGCUUGAGGAGAAGCGACCUCCCUCAAGCCAAAACUUGUCAUGAGUGUCGAUCAAAUUCCCAAGUUGAGGAUAUUUAGUCGCAUGUCACAUUGCCACUUUUGUGAUAGGUUUUCUACCUAUGUUCUCAUGCCACUUACUAGUCGAUCUCGUCCAGAUGCCACUAUAGUUAAGUCUAUGUUUAACAUCCAUUUGUCCAAGUCAAUCUAUCUCUCUAUUGUUAUUGUCACCAUUUGUUUACUUACGCUAAGUCCAAGUCCCACUAUCAUGCAAUUCCUAGGGUUCAAUAACACAUGCCCAUCAUGGUUCCAUUUCUCUCUAUUUUCAAAUACUCUUGGAAUAAACAUAAUGAAAACAACCAAAGUUCACAUGUGAAUUAACCCUAAUAUGCAUGACGGAAUAAACAACCAUGUGCUCAAGAACAGAGAAAUAGACAUAGAGGGGAAUCCAAUGAUUCCGGCGUGCACCCCCCACCUCUAAUGGUUGUGUGGGUGUAGAAUACGAAGACUCCCGAACGCUACGAACGCCAGCUCUUCGUCCUAUAACCAAAUUAGUACCCUAUUAGGUUGUUUAUACACGAACUAUAAUUAAACAUUUUCGUAACGUUGAACGGAGUUGUCCAACGUGUUUAGGACACCCCCAAUUAGAUUUCUACGGUGUCAAUUUGUCCCCGAAAAAUCCUAGGGCAAAAGCCCCAAAUUCCAAGCCCUAACAAUGCCAUUUAGGGUUUCCCCUUGGAUUGAUCUCAUUGCUAAGCAAAUACUAGCUUAGAAUCACCUAGGAAGCAUUCUAAUAAGGUUUAUAGAACUUUGGUACCAACCCUAGGGCUUCUAACCCAACUUCCAAGGGUUUACCAUGAGAGCACCUUGAGCUCUCAUGGGUUCCUUGUUGUUCAUGGCUCAAAAGAGCUUCUAAAGCCUCUAAGGAGCACAAAGCUCCAAAUCCUUAGCUUAAAAUCCAAACCCUAGAGGAAACCUUGCAAGAACUCACCUCUAGUCCAAGCUCCACCAAGAUUCUUUUUGUUGGAGAGCUCCUAGAACCGCCAAAGCACCAAAAUCCAUCUUCUUCUCCAAAUUCUUCUUCUUCUUCUUCUCCAAAUUCUAGAGGAGUUCUAGAGAGAGAAAGAGAGAAAAUGAGAGAGGAGGAGAGAAAUGGCUGUGGGAGAGAGGGGAUGGCCCAUAUAAAGUGUGGUAAGAAUUGCACUCAGGCCCCUCCACUUGUUUCCCAUUAAACUGCCCAGACUGGGCAUUUUUCGCUAUCGGGGACCGGUCUCCCAGACCAGGGACCGGUUCCCGAACGUGGGUUUUCUAGGACUUAGCCAAUUUUCUGGCUUUUUCAGUUACUGCGCAACGAGGGACCGGUUUUUCCCUCAGGGACCGGUCUCCCGAGGACCGGUCUCACUGCCAGGGACAGGAUGCCUCAGGAUUUCCUGGCAGGCUACGCGUACGGGGACCGGUCUCUCCUUCAGGGACCGGUCCCUGAGAGCACAAAAUCUGGAACUUAGCCAGAUUUUGAAAUCUCACUCUCUCGGGUCCCUUUACACCAUAUAUAGGCUCCAAUGCACAUAGGGCCUAUACCCACUCUUCCACUUCGCGUUUCGCUCGUUGCGACGGAACUCGGCACGAUUUACGAGGGAUAUGGUAUGUUACAUUAACACUAUGAUGUGAACAUAGGGAUAGAGGAUUUCCCGUGUUGUUAAGAGUAGCAUUUGAUAUUGGUGUAAAGAGACACUUUGAUGCAUUGAACUUAGGGAUAGGUGAAUUUCCCUAGAAGUGACAUGAUGCAUGAUAACCUUAGAGUAGUUGAAACGCUAUCGUGAUGAGUAUAGUAGUACACUGAUUCCAUGAUGAUGAUAACCCUAUUUUGUAGGGUAUCCUCAGUUUACGAGGAUUGGAUCGUACUCACAUAGCCUGUCUGCGCUUGUGGUGGUCGCUCCACACAAGCUGUGUACUCCGGAGUAUUUGUCACUCGAGAGGCAGCCGUUAGCUGCCCGGACAGCCGCUAGCUGUCCGCAGGCGGUCUCGCGGUAGUCGAGCAGUGGGACUUCUCCCCUAUGAGACUUUAAAGACGUGAGAUUGAGGGCGACCUUUCGGGUUAGCCAAGUGAUUGGGUAACAAACUUAUGAGCUAUAGUGAUGUCCUAGUUGAGGGGAUUUAAGGCCGAGGUGUAAGUGAGACAUCCUUCGCCUCGAGCCUGGCUUUGUGCAGUACUCCACCGACGAUUGACUCAAGACCGAGUCGGGCGGUUAGCUUUGUAAAGGUAGAUGAAACUUUAUGAUUAAAACGGUAAAUGACAAGAAUCUAAGAUAGAGGAAACCUUAAAUGUCAAUUGGAUGAACUGUGGUUAGCAGGAUUGAAAGUAGUAUCGAAUGAACUACUAGUUGAAUGUAUAGUUGCAUUAUUGUAUGAUUUGCAUAUAGCAUGAUAUUGUUGCAUUUGUGAGGCAAAGCAUGGUAUUGUUAGUUGCAUAAUUUAAAUAUCAUAUCUAUCUGUUUAUUAAACUAACCUGUAGUUGCCUUCUUUGAACCUGUUGGUUGAGCUUUUCCCCUGGGUGGCCGUACCCACUGGGAACCAUGGAGUUGGUUCUCACCCCACGUUGCUUUGGGGUGUUACAGGUUCGCACGUGAGCAGCGUGGCGGCGCGAGGAAAGGGCGUAGCUCCGUAGAUAGCGCCCUACCACAGAGACCAGAGUUAGCUGUACCGCGAAUCGACAUAUCCUAGGGGUAUAGAGAUGAAAAGAUUAAUGUAUCGAAUUUGUAUUGAAUAAAUGAAAAGAACAAGAUGUACUAAACUUGUGAAUAAUGAUGUAAUAGCUUAGAUUGCAUUUGGUUGGAAGUAAAAGAAAAUGUAAUUGAGAUGUAAAAUGCGUAAAUGUGAAUGCUUGUAAUAACAUAGGAUAUGUUUAUGUUGUUGAUACCUUCUUUUAUGCAAUCAGUGUAAGAAUACUAUUCCUAUUUGGAACCUCUUGUAUUGUACUGUUUGUUGGGCCUUGAAUGUACAGGGGAGACUUUGUCCGCAGUACAGGAAAAACCCUGUCCAUUCGGCGCUGCCAGCGAUCCGAACCCGACCAAAUAGGCGGGGCUUGGGGCGUGACAACCCCAGUGAGCUCUUUUCACCCCUUCUUCACAGAGAACCCAUAAUUUGCAUUCUAACCCUUCUAAACUUCUCAAAUUAGUCCAAAUUCCACAAUUUCAGCUUGAGGAUUGCAGUUAUAGCAUAAUUCCAACAGCGACCUUCGGCGUUUUGGCUUGUGUGCGACGUAGGAGGCUCCGUUUGCCAUGAAAUUUGGUUUGUUGGUUAGAAGACUUCCUGAAGAUUUCAUGGAACCCUGUUUGACAAAAAUUGAUUGAGGUUUAUAUAGUCAAUUUCGUGUUUUACUGAGUUGUUGGUGCUUUGGUCCUGAAAUUGAGUUUUCUUUGAUUGUUUAUGGGCCAAUUCUUGGAGAGAGCUAGAUUUUCGACCAGAGAGAGAGCUGGAUUUUCGACCAGAGGAAGUUGCUCCACCUUUCCUACUAGUUUUGUGAAUGUUCUUCACCAGAAUUGUGGAUUUGGGGAUUGAUAGGUGAGUUUUGACAUUGUAAUUGGUGGAUUUAAGCUUAAGUGCUGAAAUUUGAGGGUGUUGAUGUAAUUUUGAUGUUUUUGUAUUUAGAUCUUUGGAGGAUGCCGGGUUUUGGACCUGAGGGUGAUACUCCAUCAUAGUUCACUGGUGUUGGGACCUUUUCUCACUUGAUUUGGAGAUCGGAAGGUGAAAUCGACAUUGAGAUUAAUGUGAAUUUGAGCUUUAGUGCUGAAUUUUAUAAGAUUGAUGGAAUUUUAUUAUUUUGGGUGUUUAGAGCCUUGGAGGAGUUUAGUUGCUGGUUGUGGGUGAUUUCAGCUAAGGUUCCCAGCAACUUCGUGAUCUUCUCACUGCCGUGGAUUUGCGCUAGAGGUAGGUUAAAGUGAUGCUUACCGGAUUUUCGCGGAUUUCCUCCUAAGUUCUAUUGCUAGCAUGUAUUAGUGGAUUUUGCGUAUCAUAUUUCGUUGCUUCAUUCGUUUAUUUAUUGUGUUCCUAAAUUUGAAUUGGAGCUUAGAAUAUUAGUUAAAUAAUACAUGUUGGAUUUGGAUUUGACUUAGGAGAAAACUGGCGCUUUUACACUGUCACAUGUUAAAACUACCAGAUUUUGCUCUAGAAGCCGCAGUUGUUUGUAUAACCACAGUUUGUGGGCGGUGGAUACCCAGGAUAGUAUAGAAUGUAUUUACGCUCAUGCUCGGAUUCUGAGCUUAUUUUUACAACAGUGUUUUGGCUGUUCCGGACUGUCGGGUGCCGUUGGGGUUGACAGUGGACCCAGAUUGUUGUUUUUGCAUCGGAUUGUGCCGAGAGCACGUGAGUUUGGCUGUUAGACUAGUCGGACCAUGUUUACUUGACUAUAGCAUGUGAGAGCCUGAUUGAGCUCGACAGAGACACGUUUGCAUACUCGGUUCGGUAGCGCCCAGGAGUGCCACUCCGGAGUCGGGCUUUGUGCGUUUGCGUUGGUGUCGUUUUGUCCUGGUUGGACUUGCUCUCCACUGACGACCUAGUGUAAUGGCUGUUAGUGUAGCUUCGACAGGCGGGACGGGUGUGUUCAUAAUCCCUAGUGAGAUUGGGUCAGAGACUGCAUUAUUCUAUAGAUAGUAGUGUUGGAUCAUGAUAAUAUAGUGGCAUGUAGCUGUAGAUUGUUUCCAGUUUCUUUACUGUAACAUAUUGAAACCUCGAGAGCGAUUAUUGAACUUUACCCAAAUUAGUUAAAGUUGUCGAGAGAAAUGGUUGGACAAGUUCUAUUUAGCAUUCCAACAGUGUUGGAAGGGUUAAAGAUGAGUUUAAAAGAGUUGGAAAGGUUUUAGCAUUGUUCGGUGCGAAAUAGAAUCGAAACAAUGCAGAAAACUACAUUCUGGGCAAAGUGUACCCGUACAAUAUCAAUGUUGUACCGGUACAAAACGGCUGACCGAGAGAGGGUUGCUCUCGGGUUUGCCUCUGCGCGAUCGUGUUACCAGUGACAGAUGAAAGUGUACCGGUACACUUUGGUCUGGCAGCAACUUUGAAAUCUGUUGCAAAUAGAAAUCAUUUGGGGGCCUAGUUGCAAUUGUGACACACUAUAUAUGACCCCAUUUCUCCCUUUUGCUGACAGCAGCAAAGAGAUCUCUCUCCCUCUCAUUUUCUUUCCCUCUCUCUCUCUAGAAGCCUUGCACCAAGGCAAAGGAGAAGGAGAAAAAGGCUUGGAGGCGAUAUUUUGGAGGUCUAGAAGGCUUUAGAAGCUCUCCAUCAAGGUGGAACUUGGGAGGAGCUUAGGGCAAAGGUGAGUUAUGCAAGAACAAUUCUAGGGUUUGGAUUUCCACCAUAAAACUUAGAAUUUUUGAGCUUCUCUCAUGUUUAGAAGCUUAGUUGAGACCUUGAAUACACGAAAUCUAUGGUUUUCUCAUGAGCUCUCAUGGUGAACUUCUAGGGUUCAUGUUAAAUGCCCUAGAAAUGAUUCGAAUGCCUUAGAAAUGGUAUUAGAGAGCUUCCUAGAUGAUUCUAAGCUAGUAUUUGCUUAGUUACAAGAUCAAUCUAGGGAAAAUCUAUAUAUAGCAUUGUUAGGGCAUGGAAUUUUGGGCUUUUGCCUCCGAUUGUAUCUGAGGUAAAUUGACCUCAUGAAAAUCUAAUUAGGGGUAUUUCCGACGUGUUGGUACGCUCGGUUCGGCCAAACGAAAAGACUAUGUAAUGGUUCUUAGUAAAAAGCCGAAUUUGGUUCAAAUUUGGUACAGAUCGUCGUAGCACACGGAAUAGGAGUCUAAAAAUCACGAAAAUCGAACCCCAAAUCCUUUGCUACUAUUCGAGGUGCGGGGUGCAUUCCGGAAUCGUUGGAUUCCCUUCUAUGCCUAUUUCACAUUUUUAUUGAGCAUUAUGUCAAUAGUCAUUCAUGCAUGAUAGGGUACAUUACAUGUGAAUAUUGGUUGGACUUCAAUUAUAUGCUUCUAACGUAGAUGAACAUUGAGAUUGAUAUAACCGUAGUGGACAUGCAGGUUGGAACCCUAUACUUGUGUGGAUGUGAGACCGAGACUAUGAUAAUAGUAAACAAAGGUGACAAGGACAAUAGAGACAAGAUUGGCAUUGAGACAUGUACCGUUAAACAAAAUUUAACCAUUAGUGGCAUAAUGACAAGAAUAACCUAAAAGUGGCAUAAUGACAAGAAUAACCUAGAAGUGGCAAAUAAGAUAUGGUAGGAACCUAUCAUUGGUGGUGGCAUUGUCGCUAGUAGCUAUAUAUCCUCAAGUUGAGGAUUGGAUCGAUACUCACGAUAAGUCUUGGCUUGAGGGAGGUAGCUCCCCCUCAAGCGGUGCGUUCCGAAAUAGUCACCACGGGGAGCGAGGUCCCCGAAGACGAUCCCCAGGGAGGUUCGAGUCCCCCGUUAUUAAGGAAUUUUGGGUUGUGAGUUAUUGGGGUUAACAAGGUUAACCGGUACGAUUAGGUAAAAGCCAAGUUAAAGUUUUGGACAGAGCAUGCAUGCAUAAUCAUUCUAUAUUGAUUAUUUAUCCACUGACAGUUUCCUUGCAUGCAUAGUAUUAGCAUUAGCAUUGGUUACAAUUUUUCUUUUCUUUGAAAUACUUAUGCCUAAAUAGACCUAGUGGGUAAGUCGGCGAGGUCGGUUGCCGAACCCACUGGGAACUUCGUUGUAGUUCUCACACCACUAACCCUACAGAUCCGAGCGCGAGCGGGGCGGCGGAGGAUCGAGGCAAGGGUAUUGCGCCAUAGCUAGUGGCCACCGGAGUACUUGCAAUUUAGUCAUUCCUUUUUGGUUCAUGUAUCAACUUUCUUUUGUUGAUCUAGAGAUGUAAAAGUUGUAAACAUUCAUGUAUUUUGGGAGAAUGAUUAUGAUGUAACAAGAAUUUAUGAAUGAAAGGAAAAUGGAUGUAAUAGCUUUAGUUUACUAGUAUUUGGUUUAAAUGUAAUCAAAUAUUAUGUAUGGUUGUAUGUUUUAGCUUAGAGCUUUCGCUUCCGUUGUUGCUUGCCCUCGUGCAAGCCUUGUAUAAUUGCAAAUAUCUUUGUUUGAUUGCUUAAUUAUACUUGUUGUUAGAGCCUUGGGCAGGGGAGGUCCUGUCCGUUCGGCGUCCGUUGACGUGGCCCGAACCCAAUUAAAUAGGUGGGGAACGGGGCGUGACAUUUACUAUCAUUGAGCAUAUCAUCUGUAGACUUAGUGGGUGAGCCGUUGAGGUCGGUAGCAGUACCCACUGAGGACUACUUCUUUUUAUAGUAGUUCUCACGUCUAGUUGUGGAUUUUUUGCAGAGCCUUUGGUUGCGGCUACUGCUACUGCUGAUACUGAUCGUGGAAAGGGUGUUGCGAGUUAGAGCCCUUCCUAACGAGUCACUGAGCUAGAGGAGUACCAGCUUCAGGUAGUUGUAGUUUUGGUUCUUUACAUACUGAUGUUAUACCUCGCUGGAGCGAGUAUUUUGUACCCGGAUGCUAUGUACGUAUUGAACCACUGUUAUGAUAUAUGUUUUAUUUUUCUAGCUGCUCUAUACUACUAGUUGUAGUGUUGUAUGAUUACAGGUACAGCUUCGCUUCGUAUACAGGAAAAAUUCCUUUGUAUACGACGGAUUUGUCGGCGUGCCUGGAAAAAUGAGUAAUCCGGAGCGUGACAUAUAUAUAUAUAUAUAUAGAAUUGAGCUAGAAUACUUUUAGAAGCACCAACCCCUUGGUGCUAUUAAGUUUCUAGCCCUUGGAUCUACUCCUUGAUUACUAAUAGCUUUUGGAUCAAACACUAUUCCACCUACCACUACCUACCACCAUCAUCUCAACCUCAAUUCUUUACAUCAAUUGGUUAAAACUCAAGCACCACCCCUAUGGUGUUUUGGGUAUUCUGUACCUCUACUUCUCUCUUCUAUAUAUUAUGAGAAGAGAGAGGGUUUGAGUAGAUACUCUCAAAGCGCACCAAGAGGUUGCUGCUUUGAAUUUUUAUUUUGAGAUGGAGUGAUGUAAGUUGGGUGAUGGUGGAGGGGUAGGUAGUGGUAGGUGGAAUGUGUUUAUCUAAGACUUUUAUUAAUCAAGAAGUGUCAGGGCUAGACAUAGAAGCAACGAGGAGUGAUACUUUUUAAAGUAUUCUAGUCAUAUAUUAUUAAUAUAUAUUAUUAUAUAUUUAUUUUUUAUUAUUAUAUUAUAUAUAAUAUUAUGGUCGCUAUAUUCUAUUAAUAGGUAUUGGCCUUGAUCCUAUCAAGUCGAUUUGAAAUGAUCGGAUUCAAAUGUAUCGGCACUGUUGAAGUUUGAUCUACCAUUAGAAUGUUUAGACCAAAUUUGUUUAUUUAAUCAUUAUAAGUUCAUUUAAGAGUUGAAAAAUGAACGGUCAAAAUGAAUACCUUCUUAAUAAUAGAGGUAGCUUUUCCAGUUAUAAUCAGGAGUUAUCAAACUUAUUAAUCUGCAUAAAGGCGAUUUAUAAUAUCUAAAAUUCAGCAUUUGAUUUUCUCACUGUUAAAAGCAAGCGCUCUAUAGGCGUUCAAAUUGUCGUUUUUUACGACACUUUUGUAUCACAUGUUAAACCAUUAUCAAAUAUUUAUUGAAUUCAGUUUCUAGUAUUUAAUAUCUAGACGAACUUCAAUCGGCUGGUUUAUCGUUCGGAAUCUCGAUCAUCAAGAAACUGAUUAGGACAAGUGCUCCGUUUCUUUAAUGAGAUAGUAGAUUGGCUAAAUUAUAAUUAUAUAUUUAUAUAUAUAUAAUUAUAGAGAGAGGAAAGAGAGAGGAGAGAGAGAGAGAGUAGGGUACUGUGUAUUUAGGGCAGCAGCCUUGUGCUCCUACUUUUAACCCAUCAAGUUUGAUGGGUGGUUAGAAUGAGAGAGGGAUGAGAUAUUAAGAGAGAAAUUUGAGGAGAAAUUGAGACACCCAAUUUCUCCUUAAUAUUUCAUCCCUUUCUCAUUCUAACCACCCAUCAAACUUGAUAGGUGGUUAGAAAGUUAGGAGCACAAGGGCUGCUGUGCUCCUAAUAGUAUAGUAGCCCUGCUCUCUCUAUAUAUAUAUAUAAAGUAGGUCUUGUGUGCUAUUAGGAGCACGGAGGCCUCCGUGCUCCUAAGCCGUUUUUGAUAAUGGAGUUUCCGAAUCAACGAUUGGAUCCGUUAGGCUUAAUCUAACAUAUUUGAAGUAUCUAGAAAAUAAAUUUUGGACUUUUCGAUAUCAUUUACCUAACGAUUGAAAGGGUUCAAAAUCAAUGGCUAAAAAAAAAAUCUUACAAAAAGUGGUGAUAUAACAUGAAAAUUUUUGAUCAAACAUAUUGAUCUUGCUGUAAAUAGUAUAAAGAAUUUUCUAUCAAAAUUUCAUCUGAUUUGAACACUUCUACACCGUUAAAUUUGCAAACGGUAUACAUCAACCAUUAAAAAUUGUUGAUUUUGAACCCUUUCGAUUGCUAGGAAAAUGAUACUGAAAAAUCACAAAAAUUAUUUUCUAGAUAGUUUAAAUACGCUAUCAAGUCUAACGAAGCAGAUCGUUGAUUCGGAAUCUCCAUUAUUGAAAACGGCUUAGGAGCACGGAGGCCUCCGUGUUCCUAAUAGCACACAAGACCUACUAUAUAUAUAUAUAUAUAUAUAUAGGAUAGGGCUACUAUACUCUUAUGAGUAUAGAGCCCUUAAUACUCAUAAGUUGUUUUCAAUGAUUGAGCUUCCAAAUCGACGAUCCACUCCGUUAAAUAUGAUCUGGAGUAUUUGAAACUUCUAGAAAAUAAAUGUCACGCCCCGAGACCGCAACCGAUUUGGUCCGGUCCGGGCGCGUCGAACAGACGCCGAACGAACAGGACCUCCCCUGUCCGCCCAAGGCUAACCAACUGAUCAUGUAUAAGAAUUUACCCAGGAAUUAAUUCAUAAAUACACAAUCGCAAGGAGCACCACCAAUGCUAACAACCAAGAGCAAGGUACAAGUAUGAGACAUACAAGUAAAUAAAGAGAGAAAGCUCUAUCUAUUACAUUCAUUCAACUUAAUACAUUUGAUUCCAUCUUUUACAUUCUUCCAAAAUAUAAAUACAAGCACUCAACCUCACCCUAUACAACAUCUACUCUCAAACAUAAAUACAAGGUAGAGCUAAUGCAAAAGGGUAGGUAACUAAUGCAACUAGGGCGCUAGGCCCUUACCACGAUCCUCGCGCUCGCCGGGGACACCCAAGCUCGAACCUGAAAAGAGUGGGGUGAGAACUAUCUUCCAUAGUUCCCAGUAGGUUCGGCCGCCGACUCUGCCGGUCUCCCCACUAGGUCCAAGUGGGCACAAGUAGAUAAACAGAUAGAUAGAUAUGGAAAGCUGUAAUAACAGGAUAGCAAGCUACGCUACCGUGCCCGAAUCAUGUAUAUGAUGGAUGCAUGCACAAUGAAAUAGAUAAUCAACUAGCUCUUCGUAUGUCCAAGAAGUAAAGCUAUUUACUUGUUCAUUGAUCUCGUGGCUCAUUCAAGGAUCCGCCUACUACUCACAUAGCCGUCUCGAUACUACGAAUCCGAGACCGUCUGCGGGACCCCACAUAGGCUAUCUCUCGGGACCCCAAAUAGGCCAUCCCUAUCCCAUGGGACCCCAUAUAGGCUAUCCCUUGUGACCGACUCCGGAGCGCACUACUUGUGUGGAGCGACCACCACAAGUCGGGAACAGAUAAUGAGUAUGAUCCGAUUCUCCCACCUCACGAGUGCCCUAUCCUCUAGGGGUUACUGUUACCAUAGUCAAUGGGUUUUAUAUACGCUGCGACUCACAUAUGCCACUCGUUCUUUAUUUCAGCUAUUGCAUCAUUCUUUCACCGCUGCACUAUAGGAUUACAAGUCUCGACCCAAUCCUCAUCAAUCCCCUAUAUCCAGCAACUAAGGCACAAUAUGAUAUCAGCUAGGAAAGCAUAAGGAAAGGCAAUGCACACUAUCCUACAAUGCAUGUGAACAUAGGAUGCAAGAUCUCAAAAUAUUAAGACAUAAAAGGGAGCCCGAUUGCUUCGGGAUGGACACCAUCCACCUCUCGACGAUGCCGCGAUGGUAGAAACUCGACGCUGCUGUCUUUGCACGUCGCUUCAACUCCUCGGGGCGGAGCGAGCCCUCAAGUACCCGAUUCGGCGAUUUCUCCGCACUCGCUCAUCGGAUCGACAAACCGUCUUCGCCGACGCGUUCUGAGACCUAGCAAUUUGGUUUACAACCUAUUAAAAUAGAUCAAAACCCUAGAUUUCCAAAAAUCCCAAAUCCGUGCCCUAGGUUAGCAACGGUGAGGAAAUCCGUGGUGCGAACUUCAAAUGCGAGCUCGAACCAUCUAUUCAUCUCCUCUAGGUUCCAUUCGAACCAUUCCUAAACAAUAAAAACUCCAAACCCUAGAAAUACCAUUAGAGGGUUUAGAGCUUACCUCUAUAUAAGCUCUAAGCUUGCUCUAGCUUGAAGGGAAGAGGGAAGAAGAUCUUCUUCUUCUUCUUCUUGGUCUUCUCCUUCCACUUCUUCUUCUUUUCCUUCCUCUCCUUCUUCCUUUUCUUUUUCUCCUUCUUUUCUUUCUAGAGAGAGAGAGGGAAAGAGUGUGAGAGGGCAAAAUGAGAGAAUGAGGGAGAGAAGAGGUCCCCCAGCCUCUAUUAAAGGCCAUUUUGCAGACAGCCCCCUCAACUUUUCACCUUCUAAACCAGCCUUCUCUCGGCAUUUUCACUGUGAGGGACCGGUCCUAGCUCGGGGAGACCGGUCCCCAAAAGCCCUCCAUUCGGGCAGAGCGGAUUUCGCGUUCGGGAACCAGUCCUUGCCUGAGAGACCGGUUCCUGGGAGACCGGUCCUUAUCCGAGAGACCGGUUCACGAGAGUUGGGUUUUCGGGACUUAGCCAAAUUUCGGCUAUUCUCGCUGGGCUAACGUUCGGGGACCGGUCCUUCACUGCCAGGGACCGGUCUCAUCGGGGACCCCCGCAGCCCAGCCUGAUGGGACCGGUCCCUCCCUGCCGGGGACCGGUCCCCGAGAGCAUUUCUGCCCCAGUGCAGAUUUUGCACUGGUGCUCUCGCGGACCUUUCCUUAAUGUACUUUAUGCAUUAUAAUCACCUUCGGACUUUUCGAAGUUUACACACUCGACAAACAGUCGAUUCCAUUCGAAGUCCAAUCCUCGUAUUUCGAGGAUUCACUUCCUUAUAAUAAAUUUCAUAAUUUUUUAAAAUUAUAAUAAAGUUCAUCAAGCGGAUAUAAAAUGAACGGUCAAAAUCGAAUGAUGUCUUAAAAAUGGAUGAUCGGAUCCUUACAUUUAAGAUCGGAGUUAUUGAUAUUUAUCUGUGUAGUGAAUAAAAUUUUCUAUAAAAAAUUCAACCAAUUUUGAUUCUUUUACACCGUUAAACUAGCAAAUAUCCCAUGCCGGUCAUUAAAAAUUAUCAAAUUCGUGAACUUUUGAUCAUAAGGUAAAUGAUGUUGAAAAAUUAUAAAAUUUGAUUUAUAGACGUUUUAAAUGCUCUAGAUAACGUUUAAUGGUGUGGUCGUCGAUUCGGAAGCUCUAUCAUUAAAAAUAACUUAUGAGUACGAAAGCGAUUGUACUCAUAAGAAUAUAGUAGCUGGACUCUCUCUCUCUCUCUCUAUAUAUAUAUAUAUAUAUAGAAUUAGGCUGGAAUACUAUUAAUAGUAAAACGCUCUUUUUGCUAUCAACUUUUUAACCCUUGGAUAAAAAAUUGUAGGGUCAGGAUGAUAUUAGUCGGUUAGAGUUGAGUGGUUAUUUAUAUAUAUAUAUAUAUAUAUAUCUCUUUCUCUCUCUCUCUCUCUCUCUCAGGCCGCCGCUAUGAUAGUUAUCGUGCUUCGUAAACUAUGAUAGUUCAAAAGACGGCAAUCUAAAUGGAGAAAAUAGUAAAAGUAGGCAAGCUAAUAUGAUAAGUUGAUUGGUGGGUAAGUUGGGAUCUCCCGGGUGUAGUAGGAUUGGCGUGUAGAAAUUAGGUUGCCGUCUUUUGAAUAUCGUGGUUCAGUAACCGUGAUAAUUAUCACAAGGUCGGAUCAAGAUAUGUGUGUGUGUGUGUGUGUAUAUAUAUAUAUAUAUCUCAACCUGACCCGAUGAUAAUCAUCGUUUUAAAGUAAUAACGAUGGUUAAAAAAUCGGAAACCUAGUUGAGAAAAGUAAUAAAGAUUGGUAACCUAAUUUAUGAUAUUGGGUCACCCCNNNNNNNNNNNNNNNNNNUAUAUAUAUAUAUAUAUAUAUAUAUAUAUAUUUAUUUAUUUAUUUAUUAUGUUAUAAUUAUAUAUAAUAAUAUAUGUUAUGUACUUUAAUUAUAUUAAUAUAGAGUUUAUAUUAUUGAGCAUAUUAGUUGGCGUACAAAACUAAAUCAGCAAAAUCUUACACUAAUUACUCUCUCUUCCUCUCUUUCACUUGCUCGCAUAUUCCUUUUUUAAAUUUUAUAGGGAAAACUUCAAAACCCCCCGUGGUUUCGCACUUUCUCACUUUAGUACCAUGUGGUUUAAGGUGUAUCAAUUUAGUGCCCUAUAGUUUUAUUUUUCUCUUUUUAUUAUCAAUUUUACUAUUUUUUUUCUUAAGUCAGUGACAAAAUAAAUUAAAAGGUACUAAAGUGAAUAUUCGAUAAACCUAAGUAGGUAUCUGAAGUUUUUUGUAUAUAAUUUAACAAAAUAUUACCGAAAAAACUACCGAAAAAAUAAAAAUGAAACAACAGGGUACAAAAUUGAUACACUUUAAACUACAUGGUACUAAAGUGAGAAAGUGUGAAACCAUAGGGAAGGUUUUUGAAAUUUUUCUACUUUAUAUUUUGAAAUAUUAGACAAAUUUUAUAUUAAAUUUUAGAUAAUAUUUUAUAAAAAAUUAAACUAUAAAUUUUAUGAUAUUAAGAAUUUCAAGCAGUUCGUUUAGGGCUCGAGCUCGCUCGACUCGAAGUUAGGCUCGUUUCUGCCCCGUAAACGCAACUCUCGAACCGCUUGCAUUCAUUUGAUCAAUAAAACACACGGAUAACGAUUGGCGCCAGUCUCGCUGAGACGAUCACCCCUACCUUAUCGGAAAUCAUUACCUUCCAUGAAAAGAAGAUCUGAAUUCGACUGAAAAAAAAAAAAAAAAAUUGGAAUAAAAAAAAAAAACAGGAGCAGAUGGCGUUCGCUGCCGGGGUCCCGCCCUCCGCCGUCCGAACCACCACCACCGCGACGCCUGCCGUCCCCCGCCACCGCCGCCCCAACCUCCAUCCCUUCCUUAGCCCUCUCCCCGCCUGCCGCCGCUCGGUCUCCACCCGCGCUCCGGCCCUCCCCUCGGCGGCGGACAUCUCCGCCCUCGACGCCCCCGCGGCCCUCGCCGCGGCCUCCGUGGCAGCCGCCGCCGCCGCCGCGCUCUCCCUUUCCGACCCCGAGCGGCGGCGCCAGCGCCAGGCCGCGGAGGUGGGCGGCGGCGACAAGGAGGUGGUCCGCGACUACUUCAACACGACCGGGUUUGAGCGGUGGCGCAAGAUCUACGGCUCCUCCACGGAGGGCGUGAACCGCGUCCAGCUCGAUAUCCGCCUCGGCCACUCCCAGACGGUCGCCGCCGCCCUCCGCAUGCUCCGCGACGCCGGCCCCCUCGCCGGCAGCACCGUCUGCGACGCCGGCUGCGGCGUGGGCUCCCUCUCCAUCCCGCUCGCCUGCGAGGGCGCCCUGGUCUCCGCGUCCGACAUCUCCGCCGCUAUGGUCGCCGAGGCGCAGCGCCAGGCCGAGGAGGCCCUCCUGGCCCAGCACUCCCCCGACGACAGCCCUUUCCGAAUGCCCGACUUCCAUGUCAAAGAUCUGGAAAGCAUCGGCGGAAGGUACGACACCGUGGUGUGCCUGGACGUGCUGAUACACUACCCCCAGGACAAGGCGGAGGCGAUGAUCGGCCACCUCGCCUCCCUCGCGGAGAAGCGCCUGCUGCUCAGCUUCGCGCCCAAGACGCUGUACUACGACCUGUUGAAGAGAAUCGGGGAGCUGUUCCCCGGCCCCUCCAAGGCCACGCGGGCAUACCUGCACGCCGAGCGCGACGUGGAGCGCGCGCUUAACAAGUUCGGCUGGCGGGUGCGGAAUAGGGGUUUCGUCUCUACGCAGUUCUACUUCGCCAAGCUCGUCGAGGCUGUGCCCGCAGGGUCGGCGUGAGAGGGAGGAGGCAAGUAACUGCCUUGUAAACUGGGUUGCGAGGAGAGGUAUGUGUUGUGUUCGAUUUCUGAGAUUCUAUUCCUCCUUUUCUGAGAUUUGUGUUCGAUUCUACGACCCGUUGAGGAGGCAAGUAAUUUCUAUUUGCAAAUAUUCCUAAGGUUGGUUGAGGUCCUGUUUGUCCCUUUUGAUGCCAAAUAUGUCUGUCUCUUGAUCGGCCCUUGCUUAGUCCUUGAUUCACUUCCUCUGUCUGUAAUGCUUUUAGAUGUGUAAUCCGGUCCGGUGAUCGUGUCUCUAACUUCAUUACUUCACGCUGGGACGUGGAAAUUGGAAGCGUUGUCAAAAUGUGCUGUUAAACACUUGGAGCUCUGUUUUGCCUUGUAGAUUUAGUUUUCUAAAAUUCGUUAGCUUCUACUUCGCUGAAAUUUAUUCUUUGGCAUAUAUCGAGUGCAUUAAAACCCUGUGCCAGGAAGUUGUGCAGGGAGGUCAUGCGAUUUAUCAGUCGGAGGUUUGAAACCUCAUUGUAGUAACAUCAGUAACUUAUCCACUCUUUGCUGCCGUUGUGUCGCAAAACUCUCUAGGAAGACGUGACUUGGCAAAAGAAAAAAAGAAAAGAAAGACCAAUAGGAGGUGUUAUUAUUGUUCAAAGUGAUUCCAUUGUGGUGAUUGAAUGAUACCGUGAGAUUGAUAAAUCAGAAAUUGAGAAUCCGUUAGUACGCAAGGAACCUUCUCGCAUGGAUGGUUGCCGUCUUGAACUAACUGAAACAAACAGACUUACAUUGACAAAAAUAACUAUAUUAUAUAUUUUCCUUGUAGUUACUUUAACCUCUUUGGAAGUUGAAACAAGUUAUCUAGUGGUGACGUGUAAUAUGGAGAUUUCUCUUUUAAUUACAAUGUGGAAAUUUGGCUGUAGCUAGACCUUAGUAAUUUCGAUUGUUUUCAGCACAGUAUGUGCUACCUAUGAGAUGAUGAUUUAUCAUUCUGCCAUUAAAUUGAUUUAAAUAUGGUGUGUCAUGUUGUUUUAUACAUCUUUCCGCAUUCCCUGUUAACCAACUACCAAUUGCCCUGAGUAAACAAAUUAUAUCACUUAAGCAAUAUGUGAUAAAUCACCUAUCAGGUGGAAUGUGUUGCAUUGAAUGCCAAAGGCAGCUACUAAGGAGUACUUCGAUAAGUCCCAGCCGGCACUAACUUAUAAUUGGAUCAGAAGGAAAAGUUUGAAGCAGUAGGAGUUUGUGUCAACUCUGAGAAAGCUUUUGAUAGGGUCAUCUGGGCGUUUCCUCAGGAAAAUUUUGCUGUGGUUAGGAUUUGAUUGGAAGUGGUGUGAGUAGAUCGAGCAAUGUACCUUCUAAUUGUGGAGAGCCUCUUCCUCCUACCUGUGGAGAGCCUUGCAAGGAUGAUGAAAUCUGCUGCUCAAAUAAUUUUAUAAAGGGGUUUGGCUCGUCUGGCGAGAGUAAAGUGGCUCUUAUACAAUAUAUAUGCAGAGAUAUACUCUUUUCUACUCUUGAGGAAUUUACAAUUUAUGUGGCUUUUCUUCGACUGGGCGUCAGGAUUAAAAAUCUAUGAGGAGAAGUCUGUUUUAUAUGGAUAGCAAAGCACUUAAGAUGAGAGACUAGCCAGCAUCUUGUCCUGCAAAAUUAGAUCAUUUUCACCUUGCUACUUGGCUCUACCUCUUUCGGAUAAGAAACUCAAGAGGCAGCAUUAUGGACGAUAAUUAAUAAGAUUGAGAGAAGAAUAGCUGGAUGGCAACCUAAACUCUUAUCGCAGAGGGGGAGGAUGGUUCUAGUUAACUCAGUCAUUUCCAACCUACCUCUGAUGCAGGGGAAAAGUUUUAGAAAUCAAAAUCUCAUGUUAAAAGCAAAAUCUUAUAAAUUUGAAACUCUCUAUGGCAACUAUAUGCUUUGUCACGGCGAGACUUAAACACAGAUGCGUAAAAAUAAUUUAUGAAUAAUGAAAAUCAUAAACUGCGCAAUAAAAUCCAGAUAAAAAGAUUGAAUUUAAAAUAGAGAACGAGAUGGAAAGUUGUACCGUCAAAAAAUCCGCAGUCGAAUUAGAAAUCGCAAGCGGUGAACGAAAGUCGCCAAAUUCCUAAAGAUUUCUUCAACGCUCUUUUUCUACCGGAGUACCAUCAUGCAUCGGUUGAAAGCGCGAUCUCCAAGAGGUUGAUAUUAGGGCCGAGGUGAGUGUACGAUCGGAAGAUGAGAACGACGGCUAGGGCAAACGGGGUCCGUAAACGUCUUUCUCUUUUUUUUUUCCUUUGACGUCUCUUUUUUUUUUCUUUCUUUGACAUUUUUUUUUUCUUUCUUUUUUUUUUUNUUUUUUUUUUUUUUUUUUUUUUUGUUGAAAGACGUACGACGGAACUAAGGAAUAAGAAUCUUAAUGGACCGCAUUUUCGCGGGUUUGAAACCCAUUAACAAAAGGAUCCAAUAAACUUCUUUUUCUCGUUUCUUGCUCAAACAACGCCAGAAUUUCGCAAACAGAUAGUCGAUUCGAAGAGAAAUAAAAAACGGAUAGAAUAAGGGACUCACUCCCUACGGACUCACUCCGGUCGAUGCGAAUUCGCGAAGGAAAACAUCAGAGAACCUUUUCUCGAAGAGUGGAAUUUCAUAAUAAUUAAUGUCUGUCUCAUACAGAUGGUCGGGGUCAAUUUAUAAAAUUUUCUACUAACAACUUGAAACAAACUAAUAACCAACUGAUAACCGUUCUUAUCUAAAAUACCAAUAUUCAAGCAAAUCUAAAAAUCUAAAACAGGAAAAAAUAUCUCACUAACUAGAAUAUCUAAACCUAUCCUCAUGCAAAUCCGGCUCGAACUCAAGUCGCACUCAAUGUUUGAAUCAUAGUGCAAUAUUGUCAUCAAGCCAGAUAUUGGGUCUUCGAUGACGGCGACAGGUAUAAGUCUGAAAUGGGGCCCGGUCCGCAUCAAUUCUCCCUUUGAAAAAUUCGACUCCGUCGAAUUGUCCGCAAUGCACUCUUCGUAAAGCUCUGGAUUGAUUUGUUGAAGUUCACCUUGGGAAAUCCAGGUUGCGUCCUCUUUGGGUCGAUAUAGCCACUUAACCAAAAAUCUACGAUCUUCACCAUCUUUUGUUGAUAUUAUUUGAUCGUCAAGGAUUGCCUCAAUAUCAUCUUUUCUCUGCAAAUGGGUUCUAGGAACAAGAGGUGAAGGUGACGAAGAAAGAAGUGAAUCUUGAUUUUCUGGGGCAUAGAAUAAUGUAAGGUCCUCAACAUUGAAGGUAGGAUUAAUUCCCAUGUUAGAUGGUAAUUCCAACAGAUAGGCAUCAGAUCGAAUUUUCUUAAGAAUUUUAAACGGACCAAUGUUCUUUGCAUGCAAUUUUCUAAUAGCUCCUUGCGGAAGCCUUUCAGGUCUAACUCGAACCAUCACCAUGUCUCCUGCAUUAAAUUCAACUUCUCGUCUGUGUUCAUCGACAUUCCUUUUAUAAUUUUCAUUACUCAAAAUUAUUUUUCUGCGAAUCUCAUGAUGUAAGUCUCGCAUGUGUUGCGCAAAUGAGAAUGCAUAUUCACUUGGCCUAUGCUCUAUUGGGAGGGGUAUCAAAUCAAUAGGUUUCUUUGGAUUAUAUCCGGUGACUAUUUCAAAAGGGCUCAUUCCAGUUGUUCGAUUUACAGAACUGUUAUAUGCGAAUUCUGCUUGUGGUAAAAUAAGAUCCCAAUUUUUAAUGUUUUCACCGACAAGACAUCGAAGUAGGUUACCCAAACUCCUAUUGACUACCUCUGUUUGACCGUCAGUUUGUGGGUGAUGUGAAGACGAGAAAAGCAAUUUUGUACCCAUGAUUUUCCACAAGGUUUUCCAAAAAUAACUAACGAAACGAACAUCCCUAUCAGUUACGAUCGAUUCUGGUAAUCCAUGAAGACGUACGAUUUCAGUCACAAAAAGUUUUGCAAUAUGUGUGGCAUCGGAUGUCUUACGACAAGGAAUGAAGUGUGUCAUUUUAGAAAAACGGUCAACUACAACAAAAAUUGAAUCGUGCUUUCUAAUCGUUUUCGGUAAACCUAGAACGAAAUCCAUACUCAGAUCUUGCCAAGGAGAAUGGGGUACGGGUAAUGAUGUGUACAAUCCUGUGUUCUUUCGACCACCCUUAGCCCUUUGACACGUUCCACACCGUGCCACGAUGCGUGCAACGUCCUUUCUGAGACUUGGCCAAUAGAAUCGGUCCUCAACCAUAGAAAUGGUUUUAUCUCGACCAAAAUGUCCGGCCAAUCCUCCCGCGUGCAAUUCCCACGCAACGAAAUCUCGCAAAGAACCUUGUGGGACGCAUAAGCAACUACCCCGAGAAAGAAAUCCAUCCCGAAUGACAAAAUUGGUGUUGGUUGGUUUGCCCUCUAAAAUUGAAGAAUAGAUCUCGCUAAAGUCCGGGCAUAAGGGAUACUCUUCCUUUAUACUAUCGAACCCAAUUACAUUCACACCAACAUUAUUUAAGGUGGCCAUAACUCGACUCAAUGCAUCAGCGGCUUUGUUUUCUAUUCCGGUUCGAUGUUUCAACACAAAAGUGUACUCUUGCAAAUAUUCAACCCACUUUGCAUGCCUCAGAUUUAAUUUCUUUUGUGAGUUCAGAUAUCUAAGAGCUUGAUGAUCGGAAAAUAAAACAAACUCUCUGGGUAAUAAAUAGUGUCUCCAAAAUUUUAAUGUCUGAACUAUCGCAUACAAUUCCCUAUCAUAAGUAGAGUAUUUUUGUUUGGCUUCAUUCAAUUUUUCACUAAAAUAGGCAACUGGAUGACCUUCUUGAUUUAAAACUCCGCCGAUUCCCACCCCUGAAGCAUCACAAGAAACUUCGAAAACCUUUUCAAAAUUAGGCAAUUUUAAAACCGGUGCUUUUGUCAUUUUAUCUUUGAUUUCUUUGAAAGAUUUUGUGGCAGAUUGUGUCCAUUUAAACUCUCCUUUUUUUAAACAAUUUGUAAUGGGAGCCAUUAUAGUACUAAAGUUUUUAAUGAACCUACGAUAAAAAGUUGCUAGGCCAUGGAAACUCCUAACAUCGUGAAUAUCUUUAGGCUCGGGCCAUUCCCUAAUUGCUCGCACCUUUUCUGGAUCAGCCGAUACCCCUUCUUUGGACACAAUAAAUCCCAAAAAGAUUACUUGAGGUUGCAUGAAGUGCAUUUUUUAAUGUGAAUGAAAAAUUUUUCUUUUCUUAAAACUUCAAAAACUUGGCGAAUAUGAUCUAAAUGUUCAUCAUGGGCACAACUAUAAAUUAAGAUAUCAUCAAAAUACACAACCAAAAAUUUGCCAAUAAAAGGUCUAAAAACCUGGUUCAUAACCCUCAUGAACGUACUCGGGGCAUUUGUCAAGCCAAAUGGCACUCAAACAAGCCUUCUUUCGUUUUAAACGCGGUUUUCCACUCAUCCCCAGGCCUAAGUCGAAUUUGGUGGUAACCACUACGAAGAUCAAGUUUUGUAAAAAUAGUCGCUCCAGUCAUCAUAUCUAGCAUAUCGUCCAAACGCGGAAUUGGAAAUCGGUAUUUAAUUGUGAUUUUAUUAAUAGCACGGCUGUCAACGCACAUACGCCAACUUCCGUCCUUUUUUGGUGUGAGUAAUGCCGGUACUGCGCAUGGACUCAUGUUCUCUCUCACAAAACCCUUUCUAAUCAAAUCAUCUACCUGACGUUUCAAUUCAGCGUGCUCUCUCGGGUUCAAUCUGUAGUGUGGUAAAUUUGGUAAAGAUGAACCUGGGACUAGAUCUAUUGCAUGUUGUAUAUCCCUAAGUGGAGGAAGUUCAUUGGGUAAUUCUUCAGGUGCAAGAUCACUAAAUUCAGCAAGUAGGGCUUUGAUCAUUAAAGGAGUUUCAAUAGGUUUAGACGAAUCAUGAACCUCUUUGACGACUAAAGCAUAAACAAUUUCAGAAUCAAUUUCUUUGCAAAAUUGUUUUUUAUUGAGAAUGUGAAGAGACUUUGUUGUUUCAAUUUGUGACGGAGGGUUUUUGAAAUCUUUAACUGAACUUGAAUUCGAAUCUUUUGAAAACUUUGAGCCUUUUGAUGAAAGCUUUUGCUGAGAAGGUUUGGCUGGACUUAAAAUUAUUUUCUUUCCAUUAUGGGCGAAAACGUAAGUGUUAGGUCGACCAUAGUGUAUGACCGAAAGGUCAUAUAGCCAGGGUCUUCCUAAAAGCACAUGCGCGACAUCCAUGGGAAGGACAUCACACCAAAUCCGGUCUGAAUAGGUAGCAAAGUUAAGCGGGACCAAACAACGUUUUGUAACGGGCAUAGCUGUCUUGUCUACCCACGCAACCUUGUAAGGAUUAGGGUGUGGCUCAGUUUUGAGGUUUAGGCGCCCUAUUGCAGCUUCAGAAAUUACAUUGAUGCAGCUACCGCCAUCAAUGAUGACCUUACAACUUUUAUCCCCACAUUUUGUGUAGGUGUGAAAAAUAGAAGUGCGUCUCCAAUCGGCUUCGUUCAUAGGUUGGGUUAGGACACAUCGCAUGACUUGUAAAGUGGUGUUUUCAUCGAACGCUUCGUUUGAUUCUAAUAUCUCUUCAUCACUAGGAAUUUCAUCGGCUGUGUGUGCGACUUCCUCUAAAUCUUCAAAAUCUUCACCCUCUGGCUGAACAAGCAUGUUCCGCCUUGGGCACUCAUAAGCAUAAUGACCCACUUGGUGACAGUUAUAACACCUACCCUGUGCAUUUCCUCGUUUGGUUUCAUCUGUAACUAAACCCUUUCCUUUAGAAUCAUGAUUCGGUCGAUUUUGAAAAUUGUUUGUUUUGUUAAAAUUCGUGCCGGUGUUUCUUGUGUUUUUAUCAGUCCAUUUUCCUGUAAAUCGUCGAGCGGGUGCCUUUAAAUAUUUUUCGUAUUCUAAGGCAAGUUGAAAGGCUUGCUCAACAGUGGCAACCCUAUGCGGUGCAAUUUCGCGCUGCAAUUCCUCGCGCAACCCAUUACGGAAUCGCGAAAGGGUUCGCUCUUCUUCUUCUCGAACAUCACAACGGACAUUCAUCUCAUCAAAUUUGGCCAUAUAAUCGGCAACUGAAAGAGAACCUUGCCGAACAGCAUUCAAUUGAUCGUACAACUGUUGCUUGUACGUGGAUGGCAAGUAUUUCUCUCUCAAUUUAGCCUUCAUUUCUGCCCACAAAGUGAUAGGCUCUUGGCCAAGCCGUUCUAAGUACCUUUCGACGCCAAUCCAAUAUUGCUUGGCGGCGCCAAUGAGUUUCAUUUUUGCAAAACGGACUCGUCGGUUGUCUGACUUUUCAUACCAGUCAAAAUAUUGGUCCAUGUCAAUGAGCCAAUCUGUGAAUGCCUUAGGAUCAAAUUUUCCAUCAAAAGUGGGUGCGUCAAUUUUAACUUUUUUUGUAAUGUCAUCUUGAAAAAUAGUAUUUCCGCCUUCUCGGAAAAGAGGGUUAGUUCGAGCAAUAUGCUGAAUUUCACGUGCUUGUGGAGUAUGUGAUGCUGAUGCUUGUAGAUCUGUUCCUAGAUUUUGUGCAGAAAGUCUCUCAGAGUUUGUCUCUAGGUUGGUAACCCUAUCUCGGAUGCCGUGAAUGUCGGUUGAUAAUUCAUUUAAUUUAUCCAUAAUUUGUUUAAUGGGAUCAUUUUGGUCAUCAGGAUUAGGAUUCCUAAACUGUAGCCCUGAUCUAGUUGUCAUGAUGCAAACCUAAGGCUCUGAUACCAAAUCUGAUGCAGGGGAAAAGUUUUAGAAAUCAAAAUCUCAUGUUAAAAGCAAAAUCUUAUAAAUUUGAAACUCUCUAUGGCAACUAUAUGCUUUGUCACGGCGAGACUUAAACACAGAUGCGUAAAAAUAAUUUAUGAAUAAUGAAAAUCAUAAACGGCGCAAUAAACCCCAGAUAAAAAGAUUGAAUUUAAAAUAGAGAACGAGAUGGAAAGUUGUACCGUAAAAAAAAAUCCGCAGUCGAAUUAGAAAUCGCAAGCGCUGAACGAAAGUCGCCAAAUUCCUAAAAAUUUCUUCAACGCCCUUUUUCUACCGGAGUACCAUCAUGCAUCGGUCGAAGGCGCGAUCUCCAAGAGGUUGAUAUUAGGGCCGAGGUGAGCGUACGAUCGGAAGAUGAGAAUGACGGCUAGGGCAAGCGGGGUCCGUAAACGUCUUUCUUUUUUUUUCUUUGACGUCUCUUUUUUUUUCUUUCUUUGACGUUUUUUUUUUUUUUUUUUUUUUUUUUUUUUUUUUUUUUUUUUUUUUUUUUUUUUUUUUUUUUUUUUUUUUUUUUUUUUUUUUUUUUUUUUUUUUUUUUUUUUUUUUUUUUUUUUUUUUUUUUUUUUUUUUUUUUUUUUUUUUUUUUUUUUUUUUUUUUUUUUUUUUUUUUUUUUUUUUUUUUUUUUUUUUUUUUUUUUUUUUUUUUUUUUUUUUUUUUUUUUUUUUUUUUUUUUUUUUUUUUUUUUUUUUUUUUUUUUUUUUUUUUUUUUUUUUUUUUUUUUUUUUUUUUUUUUUUUUUUUUUUUUUUUUUUUUUUUUUUUUUUUUUUUUUUUUUUUUUUUUUUUUUUUUUUUUUUUUUUUUUUUUUUUUUUUUUUUUUUUUUUUUUUUUUUUUUUUUUUUUUUUUUUUUUUUUUUUUUUUUUUUUUUUUUUUUUUUUUUUUUUUUUUUUUUUUUUUUUUUUUUUUUUUUUUUUUUUUUUUUGUUUGUUUUUUUUUGUUGAAAGACGUACGACGGAACUAAGGAAUAAGAAUCUUAAUGGACCGCGUUUUCGCAGGUUUGAAACCGUUAACAAAAGGAUCCAAUAAGCUUCUUUUUCCCGUUUCUUGCUCAAACAACGUCAGAAUUUCGCAAACAGAUAGUCGAUUCGAAGAGAAAUAAAAGACGGAUAGAAUAAGGGACUCACUCCCUACGGACUCACUCCGGUCGACGCGAAAUCGCGAAGGAAAACAUCAGAGAACCUUUCUCGAAAAAGUGGAAUUUCAUAAUAAUUAAUGUCUGUCUCAUACAGAUGGUCGGGGUCAAUUUAUAGAAUUUUCUACUAACAACUUGAAACAAACUAAUAACCAACUGAUAACCGGUCUUAUCUAAUACCAAUAUUCAAGCAAAUCUAAAAAUCUAAAACAUAAAAUAAUAUCUCAAUAACUAUAAUAUCUAAACCUAUCCUCAUGCAAAUUCGGCUCGACCUCAAGUCGCACUCAAUGUUUGAAUCAUGGUGCGAUAACGUCAUCAAGCCAGAUAUUGGGCCUUCAACGACGGCGACGGGUAUAAGUCUGAAAUGGGGCCCGGUCCGCAUCAACCUCUGUAUCCUUUUUCCCUCUUUUGGUCUCCGAAAUGGCCUGUUCGACAUAUUGAAGCACUUAGGAGAGCUUUCUUCUGGAAGGGAUAAUCUAGUGGCAGUGGAGGUUUAUGCCUAGUUCAUUGGAAGAUUGUGUGUGAGAGCAAACACGAAGGUGGCCUAGGAAUCGGAGACAUGGAGACCAUGAAUUUAUCUUUAUCAUCGAAUUGAUGGUGGCGGCACUUUACGGAACAAGACUUACAAUGGAUAAAUUGGUUAGAGCACUCUACUACAAAAGGAGAAAGCCACUUACAGAAGUGUCUACUUUUAGACGCUUUCCCAAUGAUGGAAGAAUAUUUUGGGCAUUAAUGAAAUCUUUAAGUGUGAUUUAUUUUACUUAGUUCGCAAUGAGAAGACAUUUGAGUUGGACGGACAGAUGGUGUGGUGAUAUCUCCUUACAAGCUUCCAUGAUGUAUAUGAUCAAGUUUUGCACAAGGACAUACGGGUGAGAGACUGCUUUUGACAAAAUGGAUGGAACUGGAGUUCAAUUCUUAGUGGCUACGUGGAGUUUCAGCCGCAUGAGAGUGCUCGUGUUCAACAAUCCAAAAAUUGCAUCUUAAGCAUCCCUUUGACAUGUGAGUAGGAUGUUGUGAAGCAGAGAUUGCCAAAAUCUCUAACCUUAACAUUACGAUACUUUAAAACUUCCUCAUAAUGUGGGAUUAAGGGAUUUCAAUACCCUUUAUAUUUGGAAAUUAAAUAUCCCAGUAAAGGUUAAGAUUUUCAUGCGGUUAGUUUUGGAAAAAAGAUUUCUAUCGGUAGAUAACUUGGUGAAAAGGGGAUGGGUGGUUGAACAAGUUUGUAUAUCUGUUAUGAGCCGAAUUCCUAGACCGUUGACCCGGUCAAUAAUCUGCUCCGGGAAGCGAGCAGAGAGGUGGAACGGCUUUCGACAAUGACUAUCAAAUAUUUCACCCAAGACUAGAUCAAAUGAUUCGGCCGAUGAGUGAUCUGUUCAGCUGAGUUCAAACGCUCUACUACGUUAUCAGCUUGGUUGGAAUAAGCUGAGUGACUUUGAUAUCGCAGAGAAAAAAAGGUCAAAAUCUAUUCGGCUUUAUUGAGCCGACUGAUUUCAAUAUGCUUUUUGAAAAGAAAGUGGUUUAUAAGUGGAUUACUCUCAGUUACAAAAACAUCUAUCUUAAAACUACUUUUAGGAAAAAUAAUGUCACGCCAUGAACUUCAGCGGAAGCUCACCAGUUGCGUGCACAAUCCGCCGUAUACACCACCACCACUAGUAUGCACCAGGCGUUUACAAUCAACGUAGUAAAAGUAUAAUAUUUUAACCAGGUAAUCAGAGCAAAACUUAAAAGUUCCUAAGCUUAUAUUAACACAAAACCAAAUUAUAGCUUUAAGUAAAGUACAAAGUACAUUCUAACAUUCCAAAUAUACAUCUCUGAACUAAACUAGAAUAAGCUUGUAUGGGUUCAUCUAUUUAACAUCGAGGAGGCUCUAGCUAGCCGCUGACCCCUUGCCUGGAACCCCCCGCUGUGGAAGGCUUUGCACAAAAACAACAAACAAAAGGGCAUGAGAAAUAUUAAACAAUAGUUUGCAGUGGAUAAGCCGCCGAAAGUGGCGAAGUACACCACUAGGUCAACUGAGGCAUGAGUAAACAACAAUAAGUAAGAAAUGUAAAUACAACAAAUAGAUAGAGUGAAUUACAAUAAACAUGCCUCACCAAGAUAUGCUUUCUAACAUAUCUUAUGUACUAGUUCAUCAUGUAUAAGUUCUAUGAGUCAUGCUAAUUAUUAGUUUAAUUAUCUAUAUGUCAAUAUUCAUGCAGAAUAUCAUCAUUAUAGUUUAACUAGCUAAUGACAUCAUGUAGCUAUCUUCCUACACUAAGGACAUGUUUGGUUCGCUUCUUUUUCACUCUGGAAUCGGAAUCGGAAUCGGAAUCGGAAUGGGUGAAUUCGUUUGUGGGUGUUUGGUACGCGGGAGUCCAAUUCCGAUUUUGAUUUCCGAGUGGAAUGGGAAUCCCCCAAUCACCUCUUUUUUCAAUCCGGCCUAGGGGGCCGGAUUGGAAGUUGAAUCCGGACGGAAUGGAUAUUUAUUCCGAUUAAAUUUAUUUUUUCAACUUUUUUAAUUAAACUAUGAGUUAAAAUUUAAAAAUUAAAUAUAUAAUUUUAAAUUUUAAUUUGAACUUAAAUUAAAAAUUAAAAUUUAAUCAAGUAUUUCGAAUCUAACUUAUGAAUUUGAAUUUAAAUUAAAUUUUAAUUUAUAUAAAGUUUUAUUCAAAUUUUAUUUCAAACUUAAAUUAAAUUUAUGGAUUUAAAUUGUAAUUUUAAGUUUGAAUUUGAAUAAAUCAAAAUUUAGUUUCAUAUUUUGAAUUAUCCACCAAACUUCAAAGUUUAUUUUUUUAAAAAAAAAUAGAUUUAAAAUUUUGACAUUAUUUCAAAAUUUUGAUGUAAAUUUUUAAUAUUUAAUUUUUAAUUUGAAUUUAAAUUAAUAUAUUAUAAAGACAAUAUUAGUAUAUUAAUUUGAUUNCAAGAAAAGCAAGGAUGAGGAGAUCAAAACCUACCAAAAUCCAUCAAAAAUGGAAAGAAAACUCAAAGAGGGAGAGUCUCACCUUGUCUCCACAGAAUUAGGGCUCAAAACCCUAUCUAAGGGGGCUGGGGUCACUUAUAUAGGUGUUGCAACAAUUGCAAAAACACCCCUCCACGUAACAGCCCCAAUCUGCACUGUGUAUCGAUACAUGGGUUUGUGUAGCGGUACACAACCCACGAAUAGUCAAACCCGAGCCUUGGGUUGGCUGGGAAAUGCUCUGCGUACCGGUACACGAGCACGUACCGGUACGGCCAUCAAUCCCGUACCGGUACAGCAAGCGAACCCGUAUCGGUACACAGCCUGCUGAAGGCUACCCGAGAGCUGACCAAAAAUCCAACUUUUUAGAUUUUGGUGCACAGCUUUAAACCACGAUUCUCGGGACUCGAACUAUAGGUCGGGACACUGUCAACGACCUCCCACAAAAUGUGGAAAAGCUCAGAACAAAAACCAGACACUCGACCUCGCUAUUUGCAAAGGUCCAGUGUAUUACAUUCACCCUUCCUAAAAAGGAGUUUCGUCCGCGAAACUCAAAAGCAAACACCAUACCUCAAGACUCCAUCUGAAAAAGAUAGGGAUAGCGCUCCUGCGAUGCGCUCUCUAGCUCCCACGUGGCCUCCCUCUCCCCGUGGUUGCUCCAAAGGAUCUCAAAUCCCCACGCAGUUCCACUGGUAAAGUCUCCAAAACGUGGGCUGGAUCAUGAAUGUACCUCCGAAGGACCGAUACAUGAAAGACGUUGUGCACGCCCGAUAGGUUCGGUGGUAGAGCAAGUCGAUACGCUACCGGACCUACACGCUCCAAAACCUCAUACGGUCCAAUGAAACGAGGGCUCAACUUUUCCCGAAUCCCGAAUCUCUUGAUUCCUCUAGUCGGCGAGACCUUCAAGAAAACAUGGUCUCCAACUUGGAACACCAAGUCUCUCCGCCGUCGAUCAGCGUAGCUCCUCUGUCUACUCUGUACCGUCAAAAGUCGCUCCCGAGCAAUUCGAACAUUGUCCUCGGCUUCCUGGAGCACAUCAGGGCCUAAAGCCAAUCUCUCGCCAACUUCACUCCAAUAAAGAGGCGAUCUACACUUUCGUCCAUAAAGUGCUUCGAACGGUGCCAUCUUGAUACUUGCUUGAUAACUAUUGUUAUAAGCAAACUCCGCUAUAGGUAGAUGCUGCGACCAUCCUCCCUGGAAGUCUAUCACACAUGCUCGGAGCAUAUCCUCUAAGGUUUGAAUGGUGUGCUCUGACUGCCCAUCACUCUGAGGGUGGAAAGCAAUACUAAAGUCCAGACGAGUGCCCAAGGCGUCCUGAAGACUCCUCCAAAAGUAAGACACAAACCGAGUGUCUCGAUCCGAUACUAUCGAUGUAGGCACUCCAUGAAGUCGUACAAUCUCAUCAAGGUACACUUGUGCGAGCUUCUCUCCGGACCAAGUAGUAUGAAUAGGUAUGAAGUGCGCCGACUUCGUCAACCUAUCCACGAUUACCCAAAUAGCAUCAUGUCCGGCCUGAGAGCAAGGCAAUCCAGUCACAAAAUCCAUGGUGAUCUCCUCCCACUUCCACACGGGUAUAGGCAGACUUUGAAGUUUUCCCGCGGGGACUCGGUGCUCAGCCUUAACUUGUUGACAAGUUAAGCAUCUAGCAACAAACUCCCCAACAUCCUUCUUCAUCCCGGGCCACCAAUAAAGCAACUUCAAGUCUUAUACAUCUUGGUGCCUCCCGGAUGGAUAGCAUAGGGUGCUCGAUGUGCUUCUUGAAAAAUAUUCUCUUUAAUUUCCGAAUCCGCCAGUACGCAUAUCCGCCCACGGAAUCGCAUCAACCCUUGGUCAUCCACAAGGAAAUCGCCGGUGCAACCAUCAACCAUCUUACCUUUAAUCUUUUGCAACUCCACGUCGGAAGCUUGCUUUUUUUUAAUCCUGUCCAAAAGAGUAGGUUGCACAACCAAGGUCAUCAACCUCAAAGGUGUAUCCGGAGUUACUACCUCCAACUCCAACCGCUUUAUCUGCUCGAUCAACUGCGGUUGGGUCACAACAAGCAUCGCUAAGUUCUCCGUCGAUUUCCGACUUAGCGCAUCCGCCACCACGUUAGCCUUGCCCGGGUGGUAUACAAUCGUCAAAUCGUAGUCCUUGAGCAGCUCCAACCAUCUGCGUUGUCUCAAAUUCAACUCCUUCUGAGAAAACAGGUACUUCAAGCUCUUGUGAUCCGUGUACACUUCACACCGCUCGCCAUAAAGAUAGUGGCGCCAUAGCUUCAAUGCGAACACUACGGCCGCCAACUCCAAAUCAUGCAUCGGAUAGUUCUUUUCAUAUUCCUUUAGUUGGCGAGAAGCAUACGCGAUCACCUUGCCAUCCUGCAUCAAUACACAGUCCAAUCCAUUAAGUGAAGCAUCACUAUAUACCACAUACCCUGCUCCAGCUACUGGUAGGGUCAAGAUCGGGGCAGUAGUCAAUCGUUGCUUCAACUCUUGGAAGCUUCUCUCGCACGCAUCAUUCCAAAUGAACUUGACUCCUUUAUGCGUGAGCCUCGUAAGGGGAGUAGAUAACUUAGCAAAUCCCUCAACGAAUCUCCGGUAAUAACCGGCCAAUUCAAGGAAACUCCAUAUCUCCGUGACGCUCGUCGGUCUCGGCCAAUCGUUGAUUGAUUCAAUUUUCUUAGGAUCCACAGCUAUACCUGAUCCUGAAAUCAAAUGUCCAAGGAAAGCUACCUCCCGAAGCCAAAAUUCACAUUUCUUCAACUUGGCAUAAAGCUCCCUUUCCCGAAGUACUUGGAGUACAAUUCUCAAAUGUUCCUCGUGAUCCACAUCGCUUUGGGAGUAGACCAAAAUGUCGUCGAUGAACACCACGACGAACCUGUCUAGAUAAGGCUUGAAAACACGGUUCAUUAGAUCCAUAAAAGCUGCCGGGGCAUUAGUCAGCCCAAACGGCAUAACUGUGAAUUCGUAAUGUCCAUACCGUGUUCUAAAAGCCGUCUUCGAUACAUCCUCGGGCUUGAUUCUCAAUUGGUGGUAUCCAGACUGCAAGUCUAUCUUGGAAUACACACACGAUCCCUGAAGCUGAUCAAACAAGUCGUCGAUCCUCGGCAACGGAUAUUUGUUCUUGAUCGUGACCUUAUUGAGUUCACGAUAAUCCACGCAUAGGCGAAGUGAUCCGUCCUUCUUCUUGACGAACAAAACUGGUGCUCCCCAAGGCGAGACACUCGGUCGAAUGAAGCCUUUAUCCAACAAAUCCUGCAGCUGUGCCUUCAGCCCCUCAGCUCUGCCUGUGCCAUCCUAUAGGGUACCUUUGAGAUUGGGGUAGCCCCUGGAACGAGAUCUACCACGAACUCAAUUUCCCUAUCAGGAGGCAUACCCGGAAGCUCAGCUGGAAACACAUCCUGAAACUCCCGCACCACCGGGAUAUCCUCAAUCCUGGGAGUGUCAUCCUCGCCCCUCAGUACAACACUAACCAAAUAGGCUAUACAACCUUUACUGAUCAGCUGCCUAACUCGAGACGAGCUGAUCGUCAUCGCAAACAGCGAACUCCGGCAUCCACUAAAUACCACCUCAGUCUGCCCCGAUUCUCUAAAAGUAACCAUGUGAUUCUUGCAAUCAAUCAUGGCAUAAUAUUUGGUCAACCAAUCCAUGCCCAAGACCACGUCAAAAUUCCCUAGCUUGCGCAACGCUAGCAAAUCUAUCGGCAUGAUCCAAUCUCCUACCCGAACAGGGCAUCGGGGGCUAUACUCUCUAAUAUCCAAAAUGUGGCCGGGUACUACAAUAUGUCCCGGAUGCAAUAAAGAAACCAAUGGGAUGCCAUGCAACUUGGCAAACAGCCGAUCUAUAAAUGAAUGCGAUGCACCGGUAUCAAAUAAAGCACGAACUCUAAUGCCAUCAAGUAAAAUGAUACCUGCAACCACAUCCUCGGCUGCUGCCGCCUCCUCGGUCUGAGCGACGUACAUGCGCCCACACGGGGCUUGUCGGGAUCCCUCGCUCUGGCGCUGGACAGGUGGCCGCCCAGGCUGGUACUGUGUCGACGGAGUCCCGUGGCUAACGAUUGGUAGAGCCGGUGCCGAUGCAGUCGACGGUGUCGGUGAAGAACCUCUCGGGCACUCAGUACGGACGUGGCCCUCCUGGCCACACUGGAAGUACCUGCCCGCCCGCUGUGGACACUGCGGCGGGUAAUGAGGACCAUCGUAGAUCACACACGGGGAAGGUCGGCGACGAUCGGAUCCUCCUCGAUGCGCUGCUGAGCCGCGUCCACGCUGCUGGAUCCCUGGAUGUUUCGGUGGCCUCCUAGAGUGUGUCUGGCUCGCACCCUCAGCCGUAGGCCUCCUGGCCUUGCCCCUGUCCUUAGCCUCUCGCUUCUCCUGGACAUCCGCCGCGCCGCUCUCCAUAAUGAGCGCGCGAUCCACCACCUCCCGGUAGGUUUAGAGGUUAGAGGAUUGCACGAACCAAAAGAUGGAUGGCCUCAGUGCUCGCUCGAAAAUGUGGGCCUUGUCCUCGUCGUCCCGCACGACAAAAAGCAAGCAAUGCAAAAGCCGAGAAAACUCCCGCUCGUACUCGGCCACAGUCUGGUCGCCCUGGCGCAAGUUGCGCAGAUCCUGCUCCAUCUUCCGCUUGACGCUGGUCGGGAAGUAAUGGGCCAAAAGAAUCUCCUUGAACCUCGUCCAAGUUAUAGCCGCCAAGUCAGUGCUGGAGUGCUCCUGGAGAUCCAACCACCAGCGGUAGGCCUCACCGUCCUUGUGGUGAGUGGCGAGCCAAACUCGAUCCCUCUCCUCCACGACGGUGUCGCGGAAGAGCUUCUCCAUAUGCAUCAACCACUUCUCCACGAUCCAGUGGUCGACCUUCUUGCCGUCGAAGACUCGGGGACUGCACCUCCUAAACUCAAUGAGGCACUCCAUCAGUCUGUCUCACUCCGCCCCUCAACCAUGGUAGCGAAUGCAGCUCCAACCAGGGGCCUUUGCACAGGUGGUGGCGCCAAAACCUCCUCCCGGGGCGCGGCCGCAGGAGCCGCACGUGAAGAACUGGGCGCGGGGGACGGCGCUCUCGGUGCGACGUCCACAACGGGUGCUGGUGGCGUAGGGGCCUGCGUCUCCCUAGAAGCUGCUGCCUGCUGCAGGAGUAAGUCCUCCGGGCGCUUCAUCUGUGCCUCAUGUCGGCGCGCCGCCUCAGUCUGCUGUCGGGCUGCCUCUGCCUGCUGAGUGACUAAAUCGGUGAGGGCCGCAAGCUGGCCCCUCAACUCACGGAUCUCGCCAAAUUCGGAGGUAGCGGAGGUCUCGACCUCCUCAAAGUUCGCCGCAUUGUCCGCCACGGCAGAUUGGGAGCGAGUAAUCGGCAUCGUCACUACAAAAUAUAAAAGCGCAAGUUAGUAACCCACGCUAUCGCAUCCCCGCUCAAAUAGAUAGAACCCAAAUCAUGCGAAAGUAAGAAAGUGUCCUUGACCCACCCGUAGGCUGUCUGGCCGAUGCCGAGCCUAAUGGCCCCGUGGUAGUCAUCAUCCCCACCCUAGGAAUGAGCCUGGCCCACAGCAAUCCACUUCGGCGCCCAAUCCCGCACGGCGAAUAUGAAUCGCGAUGGCUAUCUCCGGAGUGCCGGCUUGUAGGGAGCGACCCUCACAAGCAUGUGCGAAUGAGUACAAUGGCAAGUAGUCAUAUGUCCUGUCAUAAGUACCAAGUCCUCAUGUCUAAUAACAUGGAAUGUAUCGAAUGUCCCAAAGACCUAUCUCUAUGACAUUAUGUCUCUAUCAUGAAAUAUAGCAGAUGUACAAUGGCCUAGCGUUAUGUCUCUAUGUUGCAGUUUCAUAAUUUACUAGUUCCAAGUGCCUCUUGAUGACACUUGUGCUAGUAAGUCCAAACAGAGUAUAAUGUUUUCAAUACACGAGUAUGAGCUAAAUUAGCAUACUAGACGAGAAUCCCAUUCGUCCACAUGAACACCACUCACAUGCAUGCAAAUAACCCUGAUUACUCUACUAUAUAGAGUGAAAUUUAACUUACACAUAAGACAUGCAUUUUAAGUGUUCUAAAAUUCACAUAAAUUCCAAUUAGUAUAGAAAUGCAUUUAAAAAUACUUUACAACAAGUAUAGAGAGCAUAAGGGCCAUUUUGCCCCUUUUCUACGAAGUCAAACCCACCGAUUUUUUGAACUCUUCGUUUCGCCAAACGAAGGUGUCCACUAGCCUCCUAGUACCCUAAGGAUGUAGGAACAAGUGUUACCCAAACGAAACGAACAACGAAUUGCUCAAUCAUUAACCAAUUCGGGUUAGGGUUGAAGAAAACUCACCGAUUGCGAAGGAAGCUCUCUCGAUCUCCAAAUGGGAGCUAGAGUCCUUCCAACCUAACCUAAACGAAGGUUCUAAAGCCAUCAAUUUGGUUCCAAAGCCCUCAAAUCGAAAAACUUCCAUUUCUAACCCUAAUAUCUAAAAUCUAGGGUUUCAAUCAAAAGAACCAUCAAAACAUGCACCAAAAGGGAAAUACAUGUUACUAACCUCUCUAGAAGCUCCAAACUAGGCUCCAAUCCAAAUGGGGUUGAAGAUAUGUCUUUCCAUUUCCAAACGGGUAUAGAUAGACUUUGAAGCUUUCCCGCCGGAAACCGGCGCUCCGCUUUUACUUGUUGGCACGUAAGACAGUGCGCUACGAACUCCCCAAUAUCUCUUUUCAUGUCCGGCCACCAAUAAUGCAUUUUUAGGUCUUGGUACAUCUUAGUGCCACUCGGGUGUAUGCUAUAGGGAGAUUGAUGCGCUUCUCGCAUAAUCGCCUUGCGAAUGUCUUCAUUCUUAGACACCCCAACGAUUUUGGAAUCGAAGUGCGCCAUCGGUCCCAAUGCUGAAAUCAUCAGUACUACCACUUUUAACUUCACCUCGUACCUUUUGGAGAUAUGCAUCGGAAGCUUAUUGCUCUUUAAUCUUCUCCACCAAGGUUGGUUGAACGACCAAUGCGGCAAGACUAGCUGGCACUCCCGGAGCUACUACUUCAAGACAAAACCGUUGCAUCUCUUUUUGCAAUGACGGUUAGGGUGUGAUUGCUGUAGCUAAGUUUUUUACCGAUUUUCUACUUAAUGCAUUGGCCAGGACAUUGGCUUUUUUCGGGUGGUAUAGAAUAGUGACAUCAUAGUUCUUUAGCAACUCUGACCACCGCCGCUGUCGCAUAUUCAAUUCUUUUGGGUGAACAAGUAUUUGAGACUCUUAUGAUCUGUGUAAAUCUCACAAUGCUCACCAUACAAAGUAAUGCCUCCACAACUUUAGCGCGAAUAUCACUACGGCUAGCUCAAGGUCAUGUAUCGAGUAGUUCUUUUCAUAACUCUUCAACUGACGAAAAGCAUAAGUAAUCACUCGUCCAUUUUGCAUCAAAACACACUCGAGACCACUAUACGAAGCAUCACUGCACACCACAAAGCUCUCCUCCGGAUUUGGCAAAGCAAGUACCAGGGUCGAUGUUAAUCUUUUCUUUAACUCCUCGAAGCUCCGCUCGCAAUCGUCACUCCACACAUACUUCACUCCUUUGUGCGUGAGGCGCAUUAGUGGAGUAGUUAUCUUAGCAAACCCCUCCACGAACCGCCUAUAAUAUCCCGUGAGUCCAAGAAAACUGCGGACCUCCGUUACACUUGUCGGGCGAGGCCAAUCCUUAAUUGCCUCAACUUUCUUCGGAUCAACCGAGACGUCGCUCCCGGAUAUCACAUGGCCUAAGAAGAUAACCUCCGAAAGCCAAAAAAACGCACUUCUUUAGUUUAGCAUAAAGCUUCUCUUUUCGGAAUAUUUGUAACACUCUUCUCAAAUGCUCCUCGUAUUCUUCCUUGCUUCGUGAAUAAACCAACACGUCGUUAAUGAAUACCACGACGCAUCGAUCCAACAACGGUCGAAAGACUCGAUUCAUCAAGCCCAUAAAUGCUGCCGGGGCGAUAGUAAGCCCAAACGGCAUUACCGUGAACUCGUAGUGGCCAUAUCGCGUACGAUACGCCGUCUUGUGCACAUCCUUCAGCCUGAUCUUCAACUGAUGAUACCUCGACUGAAGAUCAAUCUUCGAAUAUACCCGCGACCCUUGCAACUGAUCAAACAAAUCAUCAAUCCUCGGUAACAGGUACUUGUUCUUGAUUGUUACCUUGUUCAACUCGCGAUAAUCUACACAGAGUCGAAGUGUUCCAUCCUUUUUCUUUACAAAUAGCACCGGAGCUCCCCACGGUGACACGCUCGGCCUCACAAAGCCUUUAUCGAGCAAGUCUUGCAACUAGACUUUUAGCUCUACUAACUCCGCCGGUGCCACUCUAUACGGAGCCUUCGAAACUGGCGCCGUCCCGGGAACCAAGUCAAUGACGAACUCGAUCUCCCGGUCCGGUGGCAAUCCCGAUAACUCGGCCGGAAACACAUCCAGAAACUCACAUUGUAACAUACCAAACUUCUAUAAUUAUGAAGUUACGGUGUAUGCUAGUUUGGAAACCCGUUAGAAUGGUUACGCUGAAGUUCGGGAGCGUUCGGGCGCUUUAGUGCACAUUAGGCGCGAAAACGGAACCCGAAAAGCUAUAUCAGACGUUUCCCAAAAUCUGGCAAGGCGUGGAUGAAAAGAUGGUUUGAACGCGCUCGAAAACAUGUUUUAGGAGUCUCGGUCCGAUUUGAGAUGAAUCGGAGACCCACAGAGUAAAAACGAGCGAAAAUGGACUAAAAUUGGCGAAAAGGCUGAAAUUUUGGCUAAGUCUGGAAGUGCAAAAUUUUUUUACCUACGGGGUCCGGUCCCUCAAGCCAAGGACCGGUCCCCGAGACCCGAAAAUGCCGAGAAUGAGCUGGGGCAGUGUGUUAAACAUAGAGGGGUGUGGAAGGUUAUGUGCAAGUGUAUAUUUGUGAGUGUAUAUGUUUGAGGGAUGAGGUUUAGCCCUCAUUUCCUCUCAACCCAACACAAAAUGAGAGCUCUUUCUCUCUCUAGAUCUCUCUCUCUCCUUGAGGUUCUCCCAUUGUCACAACCCGCGACCACCCGCCUAUUUGGCUAGGUCGCGGCGCCGCCGACAGACCGCCGAACGGACAGGGUUUUUCCUGUACUGCGGACAAAGUCUCCCCUGUACGUUCAAGGCAUAGUAAUCAAUACAAUGUGCGAAGUUCCAACCAGGAACACAUUUCAAUCAAGAUUGCAUAAUGGAAAGUAUCAAACAAUAUAACACAUCCUAUAUUAUUACAUGCAUUCACAUUCAUACAUUUUUACAUCACAAUUCUUAUUUGAUUCUUACAUUAGCUUUCACUUAACUUCCAAAUACAAUCCGAUUUAACAUGGUUAUUACAACUUGAUUCUUUUCAUUCUUUACGUCCCUAAAUAAAGCCGACUCAGGGUACCGCUAUCUCUGGUCUCGGUGGUUGGGCACUAACUAUGAUGCUACGCCCUCGCCUCGCGCCGCCGCGCCGCUCACGUACGAACCUGUAAUACCCGAAAACAACAUGGGGUGAGAACCAACUCCAUGGUUCCCAGUGGGUACUGCCACCCAAGGGAAAAGCUCGACCAAUAGGUCCAAGGGAGGCAACUGUAACAAGUUAGUCCAAUAACAUAUAACAGAUAUUUAUACAUUUACUCGAUAUUGAACUACAUGUCAUGCCUCUCAAUAUGCAAAAUGAAACUAUGCAACUAUACAAGUAGAAUAAAUGAUUUUAUUUUCUAUCCAUAGCUUUUCCAUAAUUUAUACAUCUUGUCACUUUACAUCAUUGGUUAUUUGCUCCUAAGGUUUUCCUCUACCCUAGCCAAGCUAACCACCCGACUCGGUCUCGAGUCAAUCAUCUGCGGAAUACCGCAUACAUCCAGGCUCAAGGUGGAGGACAUCCCACAUGCACCUCAGCCAUAAAUCCACUCAACUGGAAUACCAAUUCAUAGCUCAUAAUGCAUACUUUCACACAUUCACUUUGGCCUUUACCCAAUCUUUCCGGGGUUCAUCAAGUUCGCCCCAAGCUCACAUCUCACAUGUCCCAUUUACCGGGAUUAGCAUUAGGAAAUGCCCCUGAGGGAUCCAUCCCGUCUACCGAGGAAGGCACAAGGCAUUGUCACCCGAGGGAUCUUCGCCGGGCACUCUCACCCGUGGUGUCUAUACUCCGGAGUACACCGCCUGUAGAGGAGCGACCUCGCACAAGCCGGAACCGAUACAUGUGAGUACGAUCCUAUCCUCAAUUUGAGGAGGUAUUGCCAAUCUGUCUCAUAUCUCAAUGCCUCAAAGUCACUUUGGAUUAAACCUUAUUUUACUACUCUUUUCAAUGUCAAUCGAAUCUCUAUAGUCGAUGUCACCAUUGUUUACUAUUGUCCAAGUCCUCUCUCGCAUUCAUAUGCACAUAGGGUUCAUUUACAUUCGUACCUUUCGUUCAUUUCCCACAUGGUUUUUUACCAAUUUACAUUGUUCUUUAACACUAGGUUCAUGUCCAACCUAUGUUCUUUAACACUAGGUUCAUGUCCAACCUAUGUUCUUUAACACUAGGUUUAAUGCCACACAUGAUUCCAACCUAUGUUUACUAACACUAGAUUCAAUGUCAUUCUUGUCCAACCUAUGUUUAUUAACACUAGGUUCAAUGCCACUCGAUCUAGUUGACAUCCUAGUUGUCCAAUUCGAGUAUUUCAUAGUCCUCAUGAUGCUAACCAUGCCUUCAUGUAAUUAUCUAGCAUAUAUAUGACAUGCUUAUAAAAACUAGCAUUCUUUACAUUACAUUAUCAUGCAUUCUUACAUUUCUAUAUUACAUCAUUAGCAUGCAUUCCUUUUAGCAUUUACUAUAUGCAUCCAUCUAGUAUGUUCUACAACAUAUCAUUAUGCAUUCCUUUUAGCAUAUUCUUAUAAUGUUAACAUUCGUAUGCCCUUUAUCUUAUGCAUUCAAAGCAUUAAUCAUAUGAGUUUAUCUAGCAUUUCUAUAAUAUGUUAACAUGCAUUCUUUUCACAUUCUUACAUUAUGUCAAUAUGCAUUCCUCUAGUAUUUUAUAUUAUAUGUCAACAUGCAUCAAUAUGAAAUCUCAUUUCUCUUAGACAUAGAGGCGACCUAGUCGCUUCGGUAAGCACAACCAACCUCAUUUCGCAUUCCGAUUGCUUGUCGACACUUGCAAUCGACCUCCCGCGGCACCCGGCACCCUGUUUGGCCCGAUCCCUUGCGCGACCACCCAAACGGCCUCCAAUCCACGAUCCGGAAAUUAAAGGUCUUCGGUUAUGUGCCACGGUACUUCAAAUCCAUUUUCAUGAGUUUACGAUAUCGCCUCGGCCCUCCAGGCAGAAACGAAACCUAAACGUCUGUUUCUUUAAUAACUUCGCAACGGCUCGACGAAUCGCCAAACCGACUUCGCCAACGCGUUCGUUUACCUAGCAAUUAGGUUUACAAAGGGUCAAAUUAGAUCAAACCCCCAUAUUUUACAAAACUCAAUUUUUGAGCCCCUAGAUUACAACCAGGCAAGAAAUCACUAAAUUGAUCCAUGAUUUGAGCAACAAUCAUCUAUUUAGCAUGCUAGAAUAGCUCUAAAUCCAUUUUUGGAGCUUAAAACCCAAACUAGAGAGAAAUGCCAUUAAAGCUCUUAAAGCUUACCUUCAAAGCUUACUCUCCAAUGGCUAAAGAGGAAGAUGAAGAAGAUGACCUUCCUCCAAGCUUCAAUCUCCACCAAUUCCUUUAAUUUU